UGUGUCUCUCUUUAUAUUCCAAUAAGGUCGGUGAUCUUGAUGCCACACACUCAGAUGUGUGUUCAUCUCCAGAUACUACUCCAUGCUACCUGCCCUUUGUGUUUUGUUCAAUAACUGGGUAUCAUAUCCCAGCCAGUAUGCCGUCUGUUUUGUGUUUGUUUCCUUCUAGUUCCAAAGGGGUCAUCAUGAUGUUACCUUCUUUCAAUAUGGUGCUUUGCAUGACUACUGUUGUAUGGUACCAUCUUGUGGCCAAUAAGUACAUCUUAUCCUAUGACCUUUGCUAUGACCCUUUGCAAAUAAGUAGAAGAUUGUUAUAAGCGUCAAUACUCCGUAUAAAUUGAUCGCUGCUGUGAGUUCCCUUUCAGCUUAUCGUAGGCAUACAUUAUUGCUAGCACGGUAAAGCCAACCAACACGAAUGAUGAAGUAAACGUAGCGGUACUUCUGUAUACCAACACCCUUACUUAAAUGUACCGGUGUCAUUCCCUACUGGCACAUAUAUUCUUAUAUGCUAGCCAGCUUGUAAAAUUAACCAAUUAAAAUAAUUAUUUCAAGAUAGAAAUAACUUAUCGGUUUCUGGAAGCAUGUGUAAUGUGAAUUCAAGGACUCGACGGAAGUUGAAUCACUUCAUCUAUAUUGCUUUCAGUAUUUUGGGUAACUAAAUUUAACAUUUGCACAUACAAAUGUUAAAGUACAAAUGUUAAAUCUAGUUACCCAAGCAGAAUAUGAAGAUAGUUUAUAGUAUAUAUAUACUAUAUAAAUCUAGUUAACAUUUAGUCUAAAUGUUAAAUCUAGUUACCUAAAAUCCUGAAAGCAAAAUGUAUAAAUAUAUAUCUUUUAAGGCAGUAUAAGCUUCGAUUCCUAUUGCUGCUCUGUUAAAUCUCAUCUUUCGUUGUGGCCCAACACUCUAGUAUGCAUGUUGCACCAAGCUUCUUUGAGCCGCUCUGCCCUCUGAUUUUGCUGCGUAGGGGAAUCUUUAUCAGGUUGGGCUACUUCCAGUUGUGCGAUGUAAAGAUUCGUAUUUUCUAGAAGGUAGACAAAAAACUCGCGUUCUCUUAAGGCAACAACCGGAAGAUUCUGCAGCGCACAGGGCAUACCAUUAUUGUAGAAACGACCUUUAGUACCGAUCUCCAACCCCCUUUAAAACUGGUUUUGCAACCGGUACCGUUAUGUCGGUCCUUUAGUACCAGAUCAAAUAAGUACCGGUUGGUAACCAGUAUCAACUUGUUUUGCGGCCAAAAAAAUAAAGAAAAAAACAGUCAGAAGGCUCGCGCACACGCGCAUCACAUGAAAUAUGCGUGUGCGGGGUCCAUGGGAUUCGAACCCAUGAAAUCAAGCUGCGCGCGACCCUUCGUUACCAUCUCACCUACAUAGCGCAUAUGCUUUCCUGAAGUAACCCGUGGAGGAGGCUUUAGUACCGGGUCAUAACACCACCCGGUACUAAAAAUGACUCUUCAGUACCGGGUCAUAACACCACCCGAUACUAGUAUCGGAUGGUGUAAUGACCCGAUACUAAAAGGCCUCUAGGGACCCUCAAAUUUGAACCCGGUACUAAUGCUAAUAUUAGUAGCGGGUCAAAGUGCAGCCAGAACUAAAGCAUGGGAUGAAAGGUCAUAUUUCUAGUAGUGUAUAGUUGUUGUGAAGGACUGACUUGGCUGUCCUCUCUCUUCUCCAUCCCCUUGGUCUUACGCCGCCGCUCGCACGCGAGCCGGUGCCCAACCAGAGGAGUGAGAGCUAGGGGCAGGUUGGGAGGUGGGGAUAGUGACUGGUGGCCAGGGUGAUGGUUGAUCCUGGUGGGGUUAGGGUUUUAGGGUUUUCGAGCUUCCUAUGGUCGGCGAACCUAGAGGAGGAGCUCAACAUCAGCUGCAACCCGCGAUGGUGGUGGUUUGGCCGGCGCCCGAGGCGAGGCAGCGCGGGAGUGCUGCCGGUGGGUUGGUGUUGGCACUCAUUAUUGACAACUAUUUUGUUCAUAAAAUAACACUCAAACUUGCUGCUGCUGCUGCUGCUGCCAUCGCCACCCUAGCCAUAAUAUAAAGGCAAAAUUUGCUAAAGGACAUGCAAAAUGAUGCUAGUUUGCUGGCGGGCAUCGUUGACCUUGUAAUAUGCUACAAGACACUCUAGUUGUGUAUCAAUUUGCUGAAAGACAUUGCUAUGACUAAAAUAAUGUUUCUGGACUGAGUUGGAGAGAGAGAUGGAGUGAAAUGUCUGUUUUGCCCAUGACCCCACUGGUCAGAUCCUUCUUCUUCCACCCUCCUUUGUUCUUUCUUCAACCAUUACCCAGCUCCAGCGUGUUGCAGAUCUACGAGGGUGGCGGCCUGGGGCGAGGGGCAUCGCUCGCCCUUGGAGGAGCGCUGCGAGCGACGGCGCGGGGGCGGCAACAGCGCGUCAGAACCUGACUGUUCGUUAGCUCCUCUCGCUGCUGGGGAAGGAGGGGGAUGGGCCAUGGACGGGGUUCCCUUGAAAACCUCAGCGUCGAGCUCGGGCGGCUACGCGCAGGCAGCACUAGGCUGCUUCACGGGGAGGGGGCGCGGCCAAUCAUUGGCACCCCACUGGUCCAAUGCUGAUGAAGAUGGUGCCAGCGUCGUGUGAGGACAUCUCAUCUCCUCGAGUUCCAUGGCCAGCACAGGUGAGCUGCCGCUACCACAAAACAGAGGUUUCGUGAGAGUCAAAAAACCUUAUGAAAAUAGCUAAAACCAUCAUGAAAAUAAUCCGUGACAUGACACUCUCACGAAAAUCCUCUCACAAAUAUGGUGCCAUGAAAAUACCAUUUUCAUGAGAGUGAACUGUCAUGAUUUUAUUUCGUGAGAGUAUUUCCUAUCAAUGACCUCCACGAAAUACUUUGUGCCACCAGGUCUUCAAGAUCAUUUUCAUGAGAGCUGAACAUCAGGAAAAGUCCGCCACAAAUGUUUUUCUUGGAGCCCCUAACUCUCAUGAAAAUCAUGCGGGCCGCCACGAAAAACAGCAUGACCAAAUGACAAAUUUCAUUUUCAUGUGUUCAUACCGCCAUGAAAAUGGUCAUUUUCAUGAGAGUUGAUGAAACAAAAAAUAGUGCCAUUUUCAUGAGAGUUCAAGCAACCAGGAAAAGACACUAAUAAACAUCCAGAUCCCAUCCAGCACACAUCCAUGCACAUAUAUAACCCACAUAUUGCUCCAGCACACAUCCAUGCAUAUACAAGAUCCAAAUGUUAAUAUAGUAGACAUCCAUGCCUGAACUAGUCUGCCACACAAGUCAUUGAUGCUACAAAUCCUACAAUCGCAGCAUGUGCAUACAAGUCACAGAAUGAGACAAUGUACCCAAAACUAAAAGGUUAGCAUCAACUGUGCUUCAACCAAAGUUGUCAUCCCAACUCUCCUCUUCAUCCAUGCCAUUCUUGUCGUGGCCGUCACUGUCAGUCCCCAUGGCAUUGCCAAUGCUGUGCAUGUCUUGGUAGGAACCUACAUGUGAUGAACUAGUAACCUGCAAAAAGAGCUCAAAGGAUCUUGUUCUCAUAUUGUAGCUGUGAAAUUCUUACAAGUAGUGUUGCAAUCAGUUCACUUUGAACCAAAAGAGCUCAAAGGAUCUUGUCCUAAAAGUUCCUCAUAAAGCUUAUGGGUUUGCUGGUGGAACUGGAAGGGCUUGAUGCAGCAGAUGCCAUUCUGCAAUAGAGAAAAAUUUAGAGAGCAGUACUAGUUAAAAUUGGAUGCAGAAGAUACACAUGAAACUAGUAUUUAUACAAGUCUAUACAAUUAAAAUCUAAGGAGACUUAUCAUCGUUUUCAUGUGUUGUGAAUUAAAAUAAUGAAGGAUACACUGUUAGGUGAAAAUUCAAGAAACAAAAUUUUGCAUAGAGAUAAAGGUCCAACAUUAUUACAAGUUAAGGUAGUUUUAAAUAUCCUUGUAAUCUUCCUUUGGUUUCCUCAACGAUUCGAAGACAAUAACCUUGCUUCUAUCAAUGAUAAUUAUAAGGAGAAUCCAGUGGAAACUGUGUAUUCGUAUUAGAACUACCUAAGGUUAAUUAGGUUAGGAAAGGAAAUUGAAAAUAGAUGGUACCCACACUUACUUAAAGUUGUCGGGCAAUAGUAUGUAAUGCUUGUAAUUCCGUUGCUCCAAGAAUUUGUAUAUGUGGUCCAAUGUAGACUUUGGUUGAUCCCGUAUCUGCUGUUGGUUAAAUAAGUGUUUCUAGCCAUUUCUAGCCAUUAGAACCGGGACUAAAGGGGGCUCUUUAGUACGGGUUGAUAUUACUAACCGGGAUUAAAGAGCCCCCAUUAGAGUUGGUUUUUGGAUGCGGAACUAACAACUCCUUUAGUCCUGAGUACGAAAACAACUGACAUAUUUGUUGCUGGAUGGAAGGUCCUUUCUCUACCGUGAAUAUUGCCAGAAAGAAUUGAAAGAGACUGCUUGCUAAAAAUAUGUCAUAGAUGUAGACCAAGCUACCAAGGAGGUAGACCAAACAUGAUACACACCAUGCGUACCUUGCUGUGCAGACUAUGCAUUGACAAGAUACCCGACCACAUGUUGGCCUCGGUCACAUCAAAAGAAUCAUGUAGGCCACCAAUAAACUACUUGAAGCGGCAUUCCGUAUCGUAUAUGCAUUGCCGGUUCAUCUGCAUUACAUUACAUAAAGCACUAUUAACUAUUUGAAUAAAAUGAACCAAUUUAAAAGUAAUGUGUUGUACUCUACUAUAGAAAGCCCUAUCACUGCCGGAUCCAAAAACAUCAUUGUUAAUGGUGGUUAAGUACCAAAUAUGACGGUCAAUAUUCUCAAGAAUAAUGGAGAAUUAGCAUUUCUUAGACACAUAUUUGGUUUUGAACAAUGUAGUUCCACAUGUCUUUGGAGAUUAUUUGGGUGUGGGUGAAAUAAUACAAAAAUAAGGAGAAAACACACUCCCAUGGCGAAGAAACACAACUCCAACCAAUGAGAGAUAGCCACAGGGGCAGCACACGGAUCCAUGGGCCCACUAACCGCAUCAAACCAUCUUACCAAGGCAGGUAGCACCCACAACCGUCAUUAGGACCCACCUGGAAGUCUACCAAGAAGAAGGUUGCGAGUGGGGCCAGGAGGGGUUCGGUUGAAUCAUCUCUAGCUAGCUCCCCUCAUCCCCAGCUGGUGGGUGGUGGUGGUUGAUGGUGUCCCUACAUCAGUUAGAGGAGAUUCCCCCAAAUAUUCCUCCUGUAAACCACCUCUAUGGACCUAUACAUAGAGGGGUGUGCUCUCCAUUCCAACACACACCACAAGUUGAAUCACUCUCUCCCUCUUUAGUUUCCAAGUUUAUGGAGUUAGGCUAGAGUAGCUCUGCUCAAGGUUCCAAGUCCACUUGGAGUUAAGCAUAUGUCUCUUGUAUCGUUAUUUCCUAAAUUGACUUUAUGCUUAGUUCUUAUAUGCAUGAGUUAGUCUAAUACCCUUGCUAUAUUGAUAUGCUCGGCUUAUAUGCUCGUAUGCUAGUCAUAUACCCUUGCUGUCGUAGUAUAGGCUUAUAUGCUCUCAUGUGUGCCUGUAGACCUUGCUAUAGUAUAUACUUGUUGUGCAUACAUACCAUGUAUAGGCUAGUCGAUCUAUACCAUGGCAUUGGUUCAAUAGCCAUGUUUUUGGUGGCUCCAACCCUAGUCACAAUAGCUCGGGACAGCUGGAGUGUUGUUAAAAAUGCAAGAGUGGUGCUUGGGUUGUUUAGCAUCGUUGGAUAUGGGUUUGCCCCACGGGUUUCUAACGGUAGGCGGCAGCUAGUGACAUCCCUGUCCGUCCUUCGUAAUCCCCCCACAUUCAGGUACGCCAUAAAUGUUCGUAAAUUAGCAGUAACUACGCCGGUACACCUGUAGGGUAUUGUCUCCCUGUAGUACCUUGGUGCAUAGAACUAAGUCCUAUACACUGUGUGUGUAUGUUUACGCUGAUAUGAUCUGUGCAGUAUAUAGGAUGUAUAUAUGAACCUAGAGCUAACUCCUAGUCCGUUCUCCAUAGCUUAGUUAUCUUGAGAUGAUUCUUCUGUAUGUGUAACACUACCCAUCUUAUCAUUAUCCUUGAUCCUGUCUUGUGUAAUAUAUCUACUCAUCCUAUGAUAUACUCAUAUGCAUAGUAAACUAUUUUGACCUACCCGCCUUCCUUUGGGAAAUAUGAUACCUUGGAAUAAUCCUAGGUGAAAUCCUACAACGGUAUAUCCAUGUAAAUGCGGAUUUAUUCAUGACCAUUAAAUAUACCAACAAUCAUCACUGUGAGUUUUGGGCGUCGUUAGUGAAGGGUUGGUAGUGAUGGGCAUCCCCUUCACCAAUGGACCUGGAACCGGCGGUGAUGGCUAUUAUAAAAAAGGGGACACCACCCAGCGUACCCCACGACCCGGCCGGCCGCACCUCCCAUCAUCCCCGCCAGCCGCCCUUCCUUUUCGCCGGCCGAGCAUGGUCCCGGCCUUUGUCCCUACCACCUCGCCUCCACCGCGACCCCCCGCCGAUGCCCUCGUGCCUGGCCCCCCUCAUCUUGCCGGCCACCCUCCCGAUGCGUCCACUGGGGCCCUCGCACCACCAACCGCCCUUGCUUAGAGAGGGAGAGAGAGGAGGGAGGUGAGGCCACGCACCUCGUCCUACACCGCCGCUGUUUCUCCUCGGCCCACCGCGCCUCACCCCACACCACAGCCGCGCCUUGCCAUCUUACCGGCUGUGACGCCUCAUCUCACCGGCCACCGUUCCUCACCCCCACUUCGGUCGUCGCCGCUCCUUGCCCUACCGCUGCUCUUUGCCGCUGCGAAUGAGCGCCGAGUGGAGGAGGAGGGAUGGGGCAGGAGGAGGGCAAGAUCCGGGAGGAAGGGAGAGAUCUCGGGAGGUGGAGAUGGAAGGAUAUGGCGGAAGGGAGAGAUCCAGAGGGAGAGAGCAGGGGAGAGAGGGGGGCGUGUGGGGAGAGAGCGCGUGUGGGGUGGGGCCGGGCUGGUGGGAUGGAAGGGAGAGGGGCUAGACGGGCGCAGUGCAUUCAACUGGAUGAAGUAAAUAUUUUGGAUUCGAGACCCCAGCUUUAUUAUCACCGCUGGUCCGUAGUACCAUCCGGUGCCUGCUCGUAAUUUAAUUUGAAUCUGCGGUGAUGUUUUAUUAUCACCAUCGGAUCAUAUAAAAAUCCGGCGGUUAAAAAUCCGCUGGUUUCGAUGAAAACCGACGGUGAUAGGAUGACUGUGAUAGUCUCUUCUCUAGUAGUGGUAUAUUAGUACCGGCUGCCGGAUGGUGUUGCCGACCAGUACUUCUCCGGGGGCGAUUCAGUACUGCUGUUAGCAAAGCUUGUUCUCUAUGAAUUUGGGGAUGGAAAGCUAGUUCUCUAGUUGUGAUUUGUUACAUAUAUAUCUAUGAUAGUCUAGAAAUUGCAUGUCCUUCGUUGACAUAGUUGAAGCUGCUUCAAGAAUUUACUUCGUGCAGUCGUGCAGCAUAUUGGAUUAUCACCUAGACAGGAUACAUAGGUGAAGCAUUGGAUGUGAUUGUGGCCGAUAAUUAUGCAGGACGCUGUUGCAAUCAACCACCAAGAAGUCUGGAGUGAUGGGGUUGCCUCAUCAAUAAUUUUUAUAUAUGGCUGCAGUAUUAUUAAGCCCACGUCAAUAAUUUUUUGUCCGCACCAUAUAUCGAUGGGGUUGCCUCAUCAAUAAUUCGCGCAACCAGACAAGCUGCAGACUCAAUAUGGUACGAAGCUAGUUGCUCAGCCCACAUGCUCUGAUAUAACAUUGACAUCUGCUGAUCUACAGUAUAUAUGACCAGAAAUAUUGUGCCCACCUCAAUAACUUUCUGAAGUAUCGUGGGGAAGAACCUACGCGUACUAUGCCUCGGAACUAACUGACAUAUCGGCCCAGGCGGUCUAGGCCGAUUGGACUGGCUCUUCCUUGUGGCUUCUCACAUCCCCUUCGUCCCCAAGUAAUUUCAGGUGUUCUGUAGUUUUCUUUUCACUUGCAUCUGAGCCUCCUAUAUCAAUAGCUUCGGGAUAAGAAUGCCUCUUGAUAACCUUCCAAAUCCUCGCUUGAUUCACAUUGAUUCCGAAAUCAUCUUGCCAUAUCUUCAGAGACUUAGGUCCUAAGGCAUCAUGGAGGAUUGCUCGCCAAGAAUGAGCACCAUUGGGCUCCUGAGGACCCUAGGCCGAUCAGCCCGGGCUCUAUAGGUCGAUUGGCCCAGGCCCUCUCUGGGCCUGUUGGCCUUCAUCUUUCUUUGAGUCGACGCUUAUUCAGGGCUUUGUCCAAUUAUAGUCCAUUAUAGUCUAAUUUCCUAAAAAACAGAAUGUCCUCCAAAAUACAAUGCAUAUGUGAAAACAACCCAAUUAUUAGGUAUGAUCAAUAGUUUAGGUAUUAAAUUAAUAUUAUUAUUUAAGAUAAACAGGGGUAAAGGGUGUCAUUAAUAACAAGCGCCAACAAGCGUCCUAGCUGUUCAAUAAAUUUUUUCUAGUACCGAUUGGUAACACUAACCGGUGCUAAUAUGUACCCUUUAUUACCGGUUAUUUUACCAGGUACUAAAGGAGACAAGAGCAUCCUAACAUAAGGUUAAUAUCAUCCAUUUCAUGAGUAAAAUACUAUGAUUCAAAAAUAAUUCAAAUCCCUUAAGACAAUACCUAUCAAAUGAGUAAAUUGUAAAUAGAGUAAUCUUGAUCAAACAAUGUCCUAAUGAAACGGAACACUUCUGGUUCGUGUAGAGCACAAUAUAGAAAACAGUAGGGUAGCUGUAUGAUUGACACGUGGUCCAUUAAUUAUUGAGCCAACACUAUGGACAUGUCUUCAUGAGUAGUGUACUAGUCAUAAUACAUGGUAUGCAGUAGGUGGAGGUAUUGACUUAGCCAUGCUAUGAGCACUUAGUUACAACAAACACUUUGCCAUUAUCGAGCAUCCCAAAUCACUACAAAAUCCAUAGUUUACCAUAUACUACAAAAUCUGAGUUAAAAUAAGAGCAUACACGGAAGAGUCCGAAUGCACGGCACAUUGAAUUACUAGACAAAAUUUAUGGGACAAGGUUUUGGGUAACCGCAUGAAAAAUAUUGGAUUUUACUGAACACUUAGUUACAAUUACCAUGCCCGUGAGCACUUAGUCACCACAAACAUUUAACCACUUUAGAUCAUCCUGAAUCCCUAUAAAUUCUAUACCUUACACCGUACCAUGAAAACGACAAGAACAGAGACAGAUGCGGUGAAAAUCUCCAGAGCAAGCCUGAAAUUAAAAUAAGAGGAGGCAGUCACUAUCGACAGGACACGGAGAUUGCUAGCCAUGACAGAGGAAGACAUGAUAUGAUAUUCACCUCUGAAAUGCAGCGUAGACUAAAUGAAGCACAAUUGCAAGUGAGUGUGGCAGAUAAUGGACCAUCGAGACCAUCGAAUGGUAUGAAGCAUGAUUAUCACCUAGACAUGAUAUCCUAGACAGGACGGUGAAUUGUAAAAAGAGUAAUCUUGAUCAAAGAAUGUCCUAAUGAAACGGAACAUUUUUGGUACGUGUAGAGCAAAAUAUAGAAAACAGUAGAGUAGUUGUACGAUUGAAACUGCAUCCAUCGACGUGGUGCAUGAAUUGUUGAGCCAACACUGUGGACAUGUCUUCAUGAACACCAUCUAGUGAGGACAGCAUGCAGAAAAAUAUAAAAACAUGUCAUAGGGAGGCAGACCAAUCUUGCGAGGUAGACGAAACGUGAUACACGAUCUGCCUACCUUGUCGUGUGGAUACCCCAAGUGAAGAUGUCAUAGAGGUGCAGACCAAGCUAGCAAGGAGGUAGAUGAAACGUGAUACACGGCCUGCCUACCUUGCCGUGGAUAUUAGUCCUGAUAUCAUUCUAUUGUUCAAGGAAUAACACUCAAUGCUGCUGCUGCUGCUGACCUGGCUCCAUAAAGUUAUAUUCCUCUAGCCGCUUGCACUAACUUUAUCUGAAGUAUUAUUCUCUCUGCACUGUAUAUAUGGUUACGGAGUUUGCUGGAGUAUCCGGGGGGAAGAACCUACAUAAUAUGUCUUGGAACUAACUGACAUUGAUUCACAGACAAGGUGCUGUUGUUGACAUGGUACAGUAAAUAAUAUAGUUUACCAUAUACCGUAUACCAUUAUAUGUUAGCUAAAAUAAGAGCAUAACAUGUCGCAGGAGUCCAAAAGCACCGGUUGAGGACCAGGUACAUUAAAUUACUAGAAAACAAAAGGGGACAAGGUUUAGGUAGCCACAUGAAAAACAUUUGAAUUUACUGUACCAUGAACACUUAGUUACCAUGCCGGGAGCACCUAGUUAACACUAACAUUUAGCCACUUUAGAUCAUCCCGAAACACCAAUGACCCUCAAUAGCGACAAAUUUUGGUUUAAAUGCCGUCACCAAUGAUCCUCAAUAGUGACGUGUUUAGGUUUAAAUCCCAUCACUAAUAACCCUUGGUAGUGACGUGUUUUGGUUUAAAUCUCAUCACCACUGAUCCUCACUAGUGACGUGUUUUUAGCAACACACGUUAUGAAUGACUUGUCAUUGGUGACAUGUUAAACGCGUUAUCUCAAUGGCAAAUCAAUGGUGACGUGUUUAAAAAAACAUGUCACUGUGAGAGUUAUUGGUGAAGGGUAAUUAAAAUGCAUCACUAAUUUUGUAGCAUUAGUUAUGAUAUAAUUUUGUAACGCAAAAAUCUACCAUAGUAAUGAGGUUUAGAGCCAUCACUAAUGUGGGUUUCUUAUCGUAGUGAUGCAAGCUCUACAAGGUGCUGUUGUUGCCAUUUUAAAGCAUCCCAAAUGACUACAAGAGUCCGGUUGAGGACUAAACAAAUUGAAUUACUAGAACCAAAUGUAUGUCCAGAACAAAGAAAGGGGUCAAGGUUUGGGUAACCGCAUUAAAAACAUUGAAUUUUACUGUACCAUGAACACUUAGUUACCAUUACCAUGCCUUGAGCACCUAGUUACCACAAACAUUAAUUUAGCCACUUUAGAGGUUCCACAAUCACUAUAAAUAAUAUACCAACACCGUACCAUGAAAACAUCAAGAAGAGAGACGGGUACAUGGACCACCAUCAAGUGAGUAGUGACAGCACGCACAAGAAUACCCGGAACCUUUUAGCUUGUCUGUAGUGAUCUGUUUUCUUCGCCACAAAUAAUGAAAGAGGCUGACCAAGCUAGCAACGAGGUAGAGCAAACGUGAUACACGUAGGUUUCAUUCAAGACAUCCAUGUAAGAUUCAUUCAAAACAUUCAUGGAAAUUUCUUGUAAGUUUUCAUGUAAAUUUCAUUCAAGACAUUUGUUAGAGGUGUUGUAUAUACACUUAACGUACAUAUAUCUAUGAUUUCAUGGUUGUUAGUGAUGGCAGAUGAGGAGCAUGCAAGGUGUUUAAUGGAGCAGAUUAUUGCUAGUGGUAGUGGCUCCAACCUGCCCGUAACGUACACCGACGAAGAGGGCAGCCAGGCGGACAUGUUCCUCAACAUGUCCGGUGAUGGCAAUGAAGAGCCCGAGCAAAACCUUGCCGUGACGGAAGGUUCCAUCGAGGUAUAUAUCAUUUCCAUUAUUUUACCCCAUCUAUAAUUUCAUAUUCAUUAUUACUAUGUGCUAAUUAAUGAAUCUUGAACCGUUAGUCCUCUAGAUCAACGAACCGAAAUAAGCCCCGAGGUCUUACAAAGAUAAUGCAGGGAAGGCUUCACAUCAUGGAAGUCACAGAAGAGGGCACAUCGGUUGCUCCCGAACAUGUGGCAAGAAAGUACGUGAGUCAAACCGGGGCAAUCGUAAGGGACAACAUGCCCAUCAGCAUCAGGGAAUGAAAGAGCAAUAGAAAUGAUCUAUACGCACCCCCGGAUACACAAAAGGAUAUGUUGUGGGCAAAUAUCAAGAAACACUUCACAUUUCCCAAAGGAUAUGUUGAAAAAUAUGUGAAAGCGUGGAUGUUGAAGAAGAUGGCCACCCAAUUCCAGACAUUCAAGAAGAUGUUGGAUGCCAACUUCAUCAAGAAGGGUCGAACUCCGGGUUUCAAUGAGUGGCCAAAGUUAAGGGACCACUGGGAGUCGUUUGUCGAAUACAAGACGAGCGAAGGUGGUGCGAGUAAGGUUCACAUCAAUGUUGCCAAUGCUAGCAAGGAGUACCAUCAUCAUCUAGGGCGACGUGGUUACAGCUCUGCAAUUCCCAGAUGGCGCAAGAUGGAACAAGACCUGAUCGAUCGGGGUAUCGUACCAGCAACUCUUGACUGGAUCGAUUGAAAAAUUGGUAUUAUGCUCAUGAAGGCAAUCUGAGCCAAGAGGAUCCGACAUUGGUCUUCAAUAAAACAAUACGUCAGAAGGUCGGAAGGCUUAUUAGGAACAUUGAAGAUGCUAAAGCUGGGAGGUUCAAGGUGGAUAGAGAGAAUGAUGAACUCACAUUGGCCCUCGGGACUGUCAUCUCUAGCACUUCCAGCUCCAGGACUAUCGUCACCACCGGGACCGUCGCUUCCUGCUCGAUCACAGUCUCCAUCUCCAGCACAUCCUGGUGGUGCGAGCGACGACGACAACAACACCCCUCCCUGCCCACCAUUGCCGGGACUAAGACCCGCAUUGAGUAAGGAACCUGCAACACCACUGAAGAAGUCGCGACCACCACCUUCAAGGCAAGUCAGCAAAAGAAGAAAGCAGAGAAGCCUAAACCCACUGAGAAGCCAGCGACUGAUAUGACCGAUGCGGAAAGAUGGAAGGCACUCAAAGAAGAAUGCAGGGAGUGGUUCAGCGAAGGCGAAGGUGAGAAAGUCGUAUGAAUCGAAUUCAAGGAUAUAUAUGAAGUGAACCAUCAGGAUGCCCUUGAUGUCUCUCUCAUCAGCGCCUAGGUUCUGUAAGUGUAUGUUUAUCUAUAAGUAAAUUUUGGCUCAUAUCAUUAUUUUUUUUGCGUGCGUCACCCUACUAACUUCGUCUUCCAUUUUAUGUAGGAUGCUAAUUCAGACGUGCCGCAUAGAAGCGUACUUCCAUGUUGGAUUCAUGGAUCCAUCCCUAGUUAACCAAAAGCCGAUACGGAAGUAGCUAGAGAAAACGUUGGAGGUGGUGUACAACCUCCUGGACAAACUAAACUACAGAAUAGGGGCAAUAUGUGAGGGUCUUGUAGGAUUCCUAGUGGACGAGGUGAUAAAUCCAUAAGGAGAAUAUCAUUCCAACGGACGAGCAUUAGACACACUGAGCAACACCUAGAUGGGAGGAUCCUAGGAAUGACCUCGACAGAUUUUGGUAUAAAUAGUAAUUGUGUAAAUACUAGUUUGAUUUGUAUAGGAAUAUACUAAGAAUUGUAUAUAUAGUAAUUGUACAAAUACUAGUUUGAUUUGUAUGAAUACUAGAUUGAUUUUAUUAUAAAAAAGUUUUAAGUCGUACGUGCAUGCGCCUACAAAGGCGCGGAUGCCUUUUAAUCCCAGUCGGAAAAACAAACUGGUACUAAAGGGGCUCGUGCCGCACCUGGCAUGACCACCCCUUUAGUCCCGGUUGAACGACCCAGGACUAAAGAUCUCCGCGUCUCAAAAAUUUUAUCUCGGAUGCUUUUUAGAGAGAUUUGAGGCCUAUCAACCAAGACUAAUAUCGAGUUUUCUACCAGUGAAACUAACUAACGUUCACAUGGUUUUGACAUUCACCUGCCAUUUGGUGUAGACAAGGGCACCCUAACAUAUGGUUAAUAUUAUUCUUGAAAGAAAAUCCUUUGAUUCAAAAUACUUCAAACCUAAUAAUACAAUACUUCUCACAUCUGAAAAAUAUGAGACGGCCCGACAGUAUUCUAAUCGACGCAAUAAUAUUUUGAGGGCAGCACUACUACAGCGACCCUCAUUCGUGCCGGUGCUGGGACUCCUAUCACGACCCUGAUACAAAUGAGGGUACAUUAUUGGUGCCAGUGCUAGAACAGCCACGAAUAACUUGCUAAACGUGCUGUUACACUCACUACAGGGACCAAGAAGGUAGAUAAAUUACACGACAUAGCCUUGGUUGCCGUGGAAGCGCCAAGAAGGGAGACAAAUUACAGGGACCACACCAUCAAGUAGAUAGUGACAAUAUGCAAAAGAAUACCCGCGCCUGUUAGCAUGUGAACUGACCACACCACGAAACGUGAUACACGGCAAGCGUACCAAGGCCUUGCUGUGCAGACUAUGCAUGGACAACACAUGGUACCUGACCGCUUUUGGCCUCAGACACAUCGAAAAACUGCAUCGUUCCACGUUGUACAUCCAUUGCUAGUUUAUCUAUAUUACAUAAUAUAUUAUUAGCUAUUUGAAUAGAAUGAACCAAUUAAAAAAUUGCGUUGUAUUUUUAGUACCGGCUGCAGGAUGGUGUUACCAACCAGUACUAAUUGGCCUGUAGGAGUGAUGGUUAUUAGACUUGGUACUGUUGUUAGCAUCAUUAACCUAAUUGUGCGCCGUAUGAAUUUGGGGAUGCAAAGCUAGCUCUCUAUGAAUGUGAGGGAUGGAAAGCUAGUUCUCUAGUAGUAAUUAUAUAUAUGACAGUCAAGAAAUCGAACACUAUGCUGCUACGAGUCACCAUCAUUUCCUUCAUUGACAAUCUGACAUAGGUGAAGCUGCUUCAAUAAUUUCCUUCGCGCAGUCGUGGAGCUUAUUGGAUUAUCACCAGGACGGGACACGGAAAUGGCCAGCAAUGAAGCUGAUUGCCGUCUGAGGAAGACUACAUACUUACCUAUGAAAUGAAGCGAUUGCAUAGACUAAUGAAGCAUUGCAUAUUUGCAUGUGAGUGUGGCAGAUAAUUCUGCAGGACAUGAUUGCAAUCCACGCACCAUCGAGAAGACUGGGGCGAUGGGGUUGCCUCAUCAAUAAUCACGUGGAUGCAUGCAUGCAUGUUCCCGCAACCGGACAAGGGUCUGAUAUAUGGCUAUAGUAUUACUGAGCCCACAUCAAUAAUUUCCACUGGUGUAUCGUGUGGGAAGAAUCAACAUACUACACCUCGAGUUCUUGGAACUAACUGACGUUCACAUGCAACCUCCACAAGGUGCUGUAUGCUUUUGACAUUCACCUGCCAGUUCGUGUAGAGAAGGACACCCUAACGUAUAGUUAAUAUUAUCCAUUUCAUGAGUAAAAUACUGUGAUUCAAAAAUACUUCAAAUCCCUUGAGACAAUACUUCUCACUUGACUAACCACUAACCAACCCCGAAACCCUAACUCAACUCCGAACCCUAACCCCUAACGGCAUAACCACUCCGUUUUGCCGGCGAGAUGGAGGAACUGGCUGGAAGGUAGAGAGGGCAGCGGUCCAGGGUUGAAAACGACGGGCGAGCGCAGUAACAUGUGGAGGAGGAAGUGCCACGUAUUCGUUCACCGCUAUUGGGCAGCGACACACGACACGCCCAAUAAGAUCUUCGCACGGUAGAAGGACGUCAUGUAUUCAAUAAUGUUAUUGGUCCCCCAUGUGCAGAAGGGCGCGCGCGUAUGGAAUAACAAGUAGGGACACUGCAACUAAUCUACUCUGCUCGUCCAGUCCCUAGCCUAUAAAUAGAUGCCAUGCUAGCUCUUGUUGUGCUCACAAUUAAUCCGAUUACACACGAGCUUCUCUCCCUGGCCAAGACACAACCAUAGUAUGAUGAAGAACAUGGCACUAGCCGGCAAUGGUAUGAAGAAGUUAAUCCUCGCUGUUCUCUUACUGUGUCUAGUUAUAGGGCAGAUACAAGUGGAAGCUAAGAGCUGCUGCCCAUCCACCACUGCAAGAAAUGUCUACAAUACCUGCCGUUUCACGGGUACAUCCCGUCCAACGUGUGCAAAACUGUCAGGCUGCAAAAUUAUCAGCGGGAACAAAUGCAAGCCCCCUAACGACCACCUCACCCUUGACCCGGACACUGGUAAAUAAUAAAUUUAUCUCACUUGAUUUCUUCGUGAUUUGAGUCGUUAAUGUAUUUUCCAUCUGAUGAAACGUAUUGGUUUUGCAUUGAAGAGGAAGUUAAUGUGCUUAACUUCUGCAAGUUGGGGUGUGCGUCGUCUGUGUGCAACAACAUCAACGCUGGUAAGCAACUUUUGCUCAGACAGAGAAAACAAUAAUCAUUAAUUAGCGGCAGCUAGAAUCCUAUAAUCUAAUAUAUAUAUAUAUAUAUAAUUUUAUCAGCUCUGGGAAAUGAAGAGGCGAACGAUGCCGUUGAGAGUUGCGACCAAGCCUGCUCUAGCUUCUGCAGCGUGCAUGUUGGCAGCGCCACCGUGGUUGCUUAAGCAAAUGCAUCCAACUAGAUCGUCCUUGUGCUGAAUAAUUGGAUAUCGUAUCCACUUAAAGCUGCCUUGUGUAGUACGUCUUUGUGUCUCUCUUUAUAUUCCAAUAAGGUCGGUGAUCUUGAUGCCACACACUCAGAUGUGUGUUCAUCUCCAGAUACUACUCCAUGCUACCUGCCCUUUGUGUUUUGUUCAAUAACUGGGUAUCAUAUCCCAGCCAGUAUGCCGUCUGUUUUGUGUUUGUUUCCUUCUAGUUCCAAAGGGGUCAUCAUGAUGUUACCUUCUUUCAAUAUGGUGCUUUGCAUGACUACUGUUGUAUGGUACCAUCUUGUGGCCAAUAAGUACAUCUUAUCCUAUGACCUUUGCUAUGACCCUUUGCAAAUAAGUAGAAGAUUGUUAUAAGCGUCAAUACUCCGUAUAAAUUGAUCGCUGCUGUGAGUUCCCUUUCAGCUUAUCGUAGGCAUACAUUAUUGCUAGCACGGUAAAGCCAACCAACACGAAUGAUGAAGUAAACGUAGCGGUACUUCUGUAUACCAACACCCUUACUUAAAUGUACCGGUGUCAUUCCCUACUGGCACAUAUAUUCUUAUAUGCUAGCCAGCUUGUAAAAUUAACCAAUUAAAAUAAUUAUUUCAAGAUAGAAAUAACUUAUCGGUUUCUGGAAGCAUGUGUAAUGUGAAUUCAAGGACUCGACGGAAGUUGAAUCACUUCAUCUAUAUUGCUUUCAGUAUUUUGGGUAACUAAAUUUAACAUUUGCACAUACAAAUGUUAAAGUACAAAUGUUAAAUCUAGUUACCCAAGCAGAAUAUGAAGAUAGUUUAUAGUAUAUAUAUACUAUAUAAAUCUAGUUAACAUUUAGUCUAAAUGUUAAAUCUAGUUACCUAAAAUCCUGAAAGCAAAAUGUAUAAAUAUAUAUCUUUUAAGGCAGUAUAAGCUUCGAUUCCUAUUGCUGCUCUGUUAAAUCUCAUCUUUCGUUGUGGCCCAACACUCUAGUAUGCAUGUUGCACCAAGCUUCUUUGAGCCGCUCUGCCCUCUGAUUUUGCUGCGUAGGGGAAUCUUUAUCAGGUUGGGCUACUUCCAGUUGUGCGAUGUAAAGAUUCGUAUUUUCUAGAAGGUAGACAAAAAACUCGCGUUCUCUUAAGGCAACAACCGGAAGAUUCUGCAGCGCACAGGGCAUACCAUUAUUGUAGAAACGACCUUUAGUACCGAUCUCCAACCCCCUUUAAAACUGGUUUUGCAACCGGUACCGUUAUGUCGGUCCUUUAGUACCAGAUCAAAUAAGUACCGGUUGGUAACCAGUAUCAACUUGUUUUGCGGCCAAAAAAAUAAAGAAAAAAACAGUCAGAAGGCUCGCACACACGCGCAUCACAUGAAAUAUGCGUGUGCGGGGUCCAUGGGAUUCGAACCCAUGAAAUCAAGCUGCACGCGACCCUUCGUUACCAUCUCACCUACAUAGCGCAUAUGCUUUCCUGAAGUAACCCGUGGAGGAGGCUUUAGUACCGGGUCAUAACACCACCCGGUACUAAAAAUGACUCUUCAGUACCGGGUCAUAACACCACCUGAUACUAGUAUCGGAUGGUGUAAUGACCCGAUACUAAAAGGCCUCUAGGGACCCUCAAAUUUGAACCCGGUACUAAUGCUAAUAUUAGUAGCGGGUCAAAGUGCAGCCAGAACUAAAGCAUGGGAUGAAAGGUCAUAUUUCUAGUAGUGUAUAGUUGUUGUGAAGGACUGACUUGGCUGUCCUCUCUCUUCUCCAUCCCCUUGGUCUUACGCCGCCGCUCGCACGCGAGCCGGUGCCCAACCAGAGGAGUGAGAGCUAGGGGCAGGUUGGGAGGUGGGGAUAGUGACUGGUGGCCAGGGUGAUGGUUGAUCCUGGUGGGGUUAGGGUUUCAGGGUUUUCGAGCUUCCUAUGGUCGGCGAACCUAGAGGAGAAGCUCAACAUCAGCUGCAACCCGCGAUGGUGGUGGUUUGGCCGGCGCCCGAGGCGAGGCAGCGCGGGAGUGCUGCCGGUGGGUUGGUGUUGGCACUCAUUAUUGACAACUAUUUUGUUCAUAAAAUAACACUCAAACUUGCUGCUGCUGCUGCUGCCAUCGCCACCCUAGCCAUAAUAUAAAGGCAAAAUUUGCUAAAGGACAUGCAAAAUGAUGCUAGUUUGCUGGCGGGCAUCGUUGACCUUGUAAUAUGCUACAAGACACUCUAGUUGUGUAUCAAUUUGCUGAAAGACAUUGCUAUGACUAAAAUAAUGUUUCUGGACUGAGUUGGAGAGAGAGAUGGAGUGAAAUGUCUGUUUUGCCCAUGACCCCACUGGUCAGAUCCUUCUUCUUCCACCCUCCUUUGUUCUUUCUUCAACCAUUACCCAGCUCCAGCGUGUUGCAGAUCUACGAGGGUGGCGGCCUGGGGCGAGGGGCAUCGCUCGCCCUUGGAGGAGCGCUGCGAGCGACGGCGCGGGGGCGGCAACAGCGCGUCAGAACCUGACUGUUCGUUAGCUCCUCUCGCUGCUGGGGAAGAAGGAGGGGGAUGGGCCAUGGACGGGGUUCCCUUGAAAACCUCAGCGUCGAGCUCGGGCGGCUACGCGCAGGCAGCACUAGGCUGCUUCACGGGGAGGGGGCGCGGCCAAUCAUUGGCACCCCACUGGUCCAAUGCUGAUGAAGAUGGUGCCAGCGUCGUGUGAGGACAUCUCAUCUCCUCGAGUUCCAUGGCCAGCACAGGUGAGCUGCCGCUACCACAAAACAGAGGUUUCGUGAGAGUCAAAAAACCUUAUGAAAAUAGCUAAAACCAUCAUGAAAAUAAUCCGUGACAUGACACUCUCACGAAAAUCCUCUCACAAAUAUGGUGCCAUGAAAAUACCAUUUUCAUGAGAGUGAACUGUCAUGAUUUUAUAAGCGUCAAUACUCGGUAUAAAUUGACUACUGCUGUGAGUUCCCUUUCAGCUUAUCGUAGGCAUACAUUAUUGCUAGCACGGUAAAGAGAACCAACACGAAUGAUGAAGUAAACGUAGCGGAACUUUUGUAUACCAACACCCUUACGUACCGGUGUCAUUCCCCACUGCCACAUAUAUUCUUAUAUGCUAACCAGCUUUGAAAAUUAAGCGAUUAAAAUAAUUAUUUCAAGAUAGAAAUAACUUAUCGGCUUCUCGAAGCUUGUGUAAUGUGAAUUCAAGGACUCGAUGGAAGUUGAAUCGCUUCAUCUAGAUUGCUUUCAGGAUUUUGGGUAACUAAAUUUAACAUUUGCACACACAAAUGUUAAUGUACAAAUGUUAAAUCUAGUUACCCAAGCAGAAUAUGAAGAUACUCUAUAGUAUAUAUGUACUAUAUAAAUCUAGUAAACAUUUAGUCUAAAUGUUAAAUCUAGUUACCUAAAAUCCUAAAAGCAAAAUGUAUAAAUAUAUAUCUUUUAAGGCAGUAUAAGCUUCAAUUCUCUGUUAAAUCUCAUCUUUCGUUGUGGCCCAACACUCUAGUAUGCAUGUUGCACCAAGCUUCUUUGAGCCGCUCUGCCCUCUGAUUUUGCUGCGUAGGGGAAUCUUUAUCAGGUUGGGCUACUUCCAGUUGUGCGAUGUAAAGCUUCGUAUCUUUUAGAAGGUAGACAAAAUACCCGCGUUCUGGAAGAUUCUGCAACGUGCACGUUGGCGCUGCCACCGUGGUUGCUUAAGCAAAUGCAUCCAACUGAAUCGUCCUUAAGCUGAAUAAUUGGAUAUGGUAUCCACUGCUUAAAGCUGCCAUGUUUAGUACGUCUUUGUUUUUCUCUCUUUAUAUUCCAAUAAGGUCGGUGAUCUUGAUGCCACACACUCAGAUGUGUGUUUAUCUCCAGAUACUACUCCAUGCUACCUACCCUUUGUGUUUUGUUCAAUAACUGGGUAUCAUAUCCUAGCCAGUGUGCCAUCUGUUUUGUGUUUGUUUCCUUCUAGUUCCAAAGGGGUCAUCAUGAUGUUACCUUCUUUUGAGGUGUCUAUGAUGACUUCGUUAAUAUCAAUAUUAACCAAUUCAAUCUGUCUUAACUAUUUGUAAGGGGUAUGAUGUAUGCAUGAUUAUAACAAUGAUUGCGCAUACAAUCGCCGCCAAAGAAACGGUCAAUACCAUUAAGACAUAUUACAGACAAUUCUCAUAAUCUAUAAUGAAUAUACAUAUUCACUACUGCAGAAGACUGUCAUUUGUAUCGGCUCAUACGUGCCAGGGCAAAGGUCACCCUUGCAUUAAGUACAUUUGCACGGUAAAGACAACCAACACGAAUAAUGAAGUAAACAUGCCGGUGCUUUUGUACACCAACACGCUUACUUAAAUGUACUGGUGUCAUUCCUCACCGGUAGCCGGCUUGAAAAUUAACCAAUUAGAACAAUUAUUUAUUGUAUCGGUGUGAUUUUUGACCUAUUGGAAUAUGAAUUUGACCGUUACUGCAUUCGUCAAGACUCAAGAGAGAAAUAACUGAUCGGCUUCUUAGAGCGUGUGCAAUGUGAAAUCAAGGACUGGAUGGAAGUUGAAGCGCUAGCACUAGUAGAGAAACGACUUUCCAUCCACCCCCUUUUGUCCCGGUUUAAAGUUGGCUCGGGAUAAAAGGUUCACCAACCGGGACUAAAACUCAGUCACUGGUGGGAGGCUCACCAACCGGAACCUUUUAUCCCGGUUGCAAAGGCUAAUGGGAAAAAAAGACUCUGAGAGGCCUUUUAUCCCGGUUUGAAACACCAACCGGGAUAAAAGACCCCCCUUUUAUCCCGGUUGGUAACACCAACCGAGAUAAAAGGGUCAAGAGCCUUUUAUCCCGGUUGGAAACACCAACCGGGAUAAAAGACCCCCUUUUAUCCCGGUUGGUGUUUCAAACCGGGAUAAAAGGGCCCCCACGAGGUGACUGGAAGGUGACUGGAAGGGGAUUAAAUCGUGGGGGACCCUUUUAUCCCGGUUGGAAACACCAACCGGGAUAAAAGGGGGUCUUUUAUCCCGGUUGGUGUUUCCAACCGGGAUAAAAGGGUCCCCCACGAGUUAAUACAAAAGGAUAGUAUCCCCUACAUAGUCAGAUGUGGUGUGUAGGUGGGAUGGUAAGGAAGCUACGCGCGAGCUCCGGAAUUUUUUUUUUUUUUUUUUGCAGCGUCGGCGCUCUCUACCCUUUUAUCCCGGUUGGUAUUACCAACCGGGAUAAAAGGGGGUCUUUUGUCCCGGUUGAGUGACCCGGGAUAAAAGACCCCCCCUUUUUUCCCCGGUUAGUUUAUCCCGGAUGCAUUUUCGGGAUAAAAGCACCCUACCAACCGGGAUUAAAGCUCACUUCUCUACCAGUGUAGCUUCAUCUUCCGCUGCAAGUUAAUUGCUUGGAUAAGAAGUUGUAGCCGCUGCAAGUUAUAAAUAGUCCCGCUGAUGCUGUGCUCCGAAGUCUAUACUAUAUAUGCGGAAACUAGAUUGCUUUCAGGAUUUUGGGUAACUAAAUUUAACAUUUGUACAUAAAAAUGUUAGUUUACGAAUGUUAAAUCUAGUUACCCAAGCAGAACAAGAAGAUAGUAUAUAGUAUAUACUAUAUAAAUCAAGUUAACAAUUAGUCUAAAUGUUAUAUCUACUUACCCAAAAUAUUGAAAGCAAAGAAAGAAUAAGUAUAUAUCUUUUGUUGGAAAAUUGGUCCACGGAGAGGCCCAUUUAGGCCUCGUUCGUUUCACCGGGAUGGGAUUCCAGUCAGGAUUACUUCCAAGUUCGGUUUGAGUGAUUCCACCCGUGUCACUCAAUCCGGCUAGGAUUCAUUCUAUGGGUGAGGAGGUAUGGUUUCAAUCCAGGCCAUCUAAUGUAGAAGGAUUCCAAUCCAGGCCGGUUUUCGUUCCAGGCCAGACUAAAACGAACAACACUUUCAAUGCAAGUCUGGUUUCAAACCGGGCCAUUUCAAACCACCCGGAAUGGACCUCGUUCCAGGCCAAUCCGGUGAAAACAAAUGAGGCCUUAAUGGAAUCCCAAAGCAAGAGUUCAGUGGCAUUCUAUAGUCCCAUGCUGCUAGUUUGAGUUGGUCGAAGCCAACUUAAAUAGGAGAGCUCUCUCACUUCUCUAAAUACGUAACUGAAGGAGAGAAGGGGGCUUGGGUUACACAACGCACGCACGCACGCAUAUUUGCGUUCUUUUCGCGUAACCAACCGCGUGACUUGAAACUUGCGACGUAGCGUGCUGCUAAGUCAAGUUGAUAUAACCUUUUUGCCGUUUGCAUGUAAUCUUUUGACAACGGUCAUUGGAGGUGAUAAGCACGCAGUCAAUACCUUAAUCUUGAGUUAAUAGGGUGGUUACUACUGCCAAUUAGUGGGGCAAUUUUGUAGGGGAAACGGUUAGCAGAGGGCUACCGUCUUCUCUAUAAGAAGUUCUGGAGACGUCCAGGAACACACAUGUACAUGUGAGAGACCCACAAAUUCCUUCCCUUCUCCCUUUUCCAUGUGGUGAAGUGUGCUGUGGUACUGAGCUGCUUGAUCUCGCCGCUCUUCUCCUUGGCAUGCACCGAGGAGGAGGGUGAGCGGUAUCUCCGAGCUAUUGCCGUCAGGAAGCCUGCACGAGGGACAACAAAAAGUUUUUGGGUAGCGCAACUGCCAGCACAACUCUCCCUCCGCCUCUUCUUCACGGUUGAUGGCCACCACAAGCAUAAACCUCGCCUUCGCAUCCACGCAAAAGGGUCGCUGGGGUGCCUUCUUGCAUCGCUUCUCAGCCUCCUUGACUUGCGGCCAGCCAAGAACUGCGCCACCACCUCGGGUGCACGCCACCACUCCAGGGCUGCUACCCCAUGCCUGCGGCCGCCGCCGGCCACCACGCGUGUGCAACCGCGUCGCACCGCUUCCUUGCUUUGUGCCACCACUGCUGCUGUACCACCAGCUCCACCACCUUGGGCUGGUCGCCAGAGUGACUGAUAACUUAUUAUCUGUAACUACUAUUAACUCAGGGAUACAUGCGUCUUUUGCUUCUCCUACUAAUAUGUCCUAAAAUAUCUAGGAUGCCUUAUAUUUCUGGACAGAGGAAGUAUUUGAAUAAAAUGAACCAAUUUAAAAAAAUGUGUUGUACACUACUACAGAAAGACCUAUCAGUGUCAAACCCAAAAAUGUUGUCACCGCCAGUUUUGGGCAUCAUUGGUGAAAGGUUGGCGGUGAUGGGCUUUCCCUUCAACAACGGCACUGGAGCCGACGGUGAUUGACAUUAGAAAACAAAAAAGGGGACCCUACCUAGCCACCCCUGCAACCCGGCCGGCCGUGCCUCCCCUCAUCCCCACCACCUCGCCUCCCCAUGACCCCCCGCCGGCGCCCUUGCGCCUAGCCCCCUCAACUGCCCAGCCGGCCACCCUCAUCACGAGAGAGAGGUGCAUGUUGUAUAAUUGCGUGAAUUUUUUAAUGUUUAAUUUCAUGUAAGUUCCGUGUAAUAAAUUGUACAAGUUUUAUUGUAUAUAUGAAUUCCAUAUAUAUAUAUAUAUAUUUAUAAUUUAAUGUAUGGUUUCAUGUGUAUAUUUCAAUCAUGUGUAUAUUUAGUAGAUUGCCGAUUUUCUUUUUCUACUAGACAAGGGUUGAUGUAUAAUUACGUGUAUAUGUUUAUUGUACGGGCAAUUAGGACAAGUUUUGUAUAAAUUUCUUUUAUUUGAUGGUUGUUGUAUGGUUUCAUGUAUAUACAUUUAUUGUACUACUUUAGACAAUUUUUAAUUUAAUGUUUCUAUGAUUAGAUGUGUGUAUAACUAAUUGUAUUAUUAGUUAAGAUGGGAGCUAAAGAGGAUGAAAGGUAUAUAAUGGAGCAGAUUAUUGCUAGCUCAAACGUUGCAAGAACCUACACCGAGGGUGAGGGUAGCUAGGUGGACAUGUACCUCAACAUGUCCAGUGAUGGCAAUGACGAUGAGGAGCACGAGCAUGACAUCUAUGAUAAUGCGGAACAAGACAUUGCAGAAUUGGAAGGUUCUAAUGAGGUGUGCUUCAUGUUGACAAUCUAGUUGGCUUUUUUUCGUUGGUCACACCUUAGUUACCAUAGAACUUCGUCUCGGGAGAAGAUUGGUGGUGGUAUGGUGAUUGGAAUUUUAUUUCCACGAAAUCUGAUUUCCAUCGAAUCAUAUCCCUUGUAUUUAUCUUCUUUUUAUUUGUGAGAGCAUCUUCUUUAUGCUUGCAAAACAAUUCAAGUGCACAUACUACCCCUAGGGUGACGAUUGGGAGUAGAAAUAAUUGCCAACAAAACAACACCACAUCCUAAGAUUCUUAACUUGUGGCAUAAUUAGUCUAGUAAAAAGAAAGAUAAAAACCUAAUGGGUGUAUGUGAGUGCAAUGUGUAUAUGCAUAUGAGUGGAAGGCAUAUAAGCAAAGACAAUAUUUACACAUAGUUCUAAACACCAUGUUUACAGCUAGGUUGCUGAAUUUCUCCAUAGCCAUAGAGAUUAAUUAACCAAGGUCAAAACACGAUGUCUAUCCCAAGAUCAGUAAUUAUUUAUAGCACAAGAAAAAGAAAGCGCAUUGCAAAGUUUAUAAACCAACCAAUACAGCAUGAAAACAAGAUGAAUAGCUAGCAAGGUUUAUUAAACUGAAUGAUGACGGUCUGUAAGCAAGUUUAAACACCAUCUUUACACAAGAUUGCAAAUGGAAAAUGCCCAUAUGAAGCACUAACAUGGAUAUGAAAUCAUUCAUCAUAAAGCGUAAAGAACAACCAAGCCAACCAUAUGCAAAGCAUGAAUGGAAUGCAAUGAAGGUGCAAGAGAACAUUUUUGGAUGAACACAUUAUGAUGAUGGCAAAAUGCAAUGCAUGCAGAAAAAAUAAAUAUGAACAUGAAUAUGAUGAUCAGGGGCGGACCCACUAUUGUGGCCUGGGUAUUCCUCGGCAUACCCAAUAUUUUUGGGAAAAUGUUUAGUAGUUUUUAAUGGCAUAUACAUGUAUAAUAUAGUUUAGGUGUUAAAAUUGAUAUUCACAGCUAUUUUGGGCUCCAAUUCGCGUCCAAACCAACCUGGCCCACAGACCGCACCCGGCCGCCCGGCCCAUCGGCCCAUCUUGUCACUGAUCCUCCCACCACCACACUCAGCCCGUCAGUUAGUCAGGUCCCGAGCUCCUGCCUGACCUAGUCCGCUACCACCGCCAGGCGCCAGGCACAGCUGUACACGCCGCCCCCGUCCACCCACGUCCGCCGCACGGCCGCGUCGCGCCCCCCCCCGGCGCCCGCUGCUGCCAGAACCCAUUAGGCCUCCACCGGCAAGUCCACCCACAGUCCCGCGCGACGCGGCAGCCUCUUGGCUCUCGGCGCUCGCGGCGCGCCAAUGCCUGCGCAGCCCCAGCAGGCGACUGCCCCCCCCCCCCCCGCAUCGGGCCUCGGCCCCUCCCCAGCUCCCCCUCCCCCCUCCACCAGGACUGCCUGCUGGCCCCCACCGCGAGGUAAUCGAAAUGGACUGCUCAAUCUCUCAAUCUGUUGACAUGAUGCACACGGUUGCAAAAAUAGAUGUGUCAAAAUAGAUGUAUUGCCAAUUGCUAUAGAUGCAUAUGGUUGACAUGAAGAAGUCAAAAAUGACAUUUGGUUCCUUGUAGGCAGUCAAAAAUGAAGAAGUCAAACAAUAUUGAUCUGAAAUCAAUGCGGGAAAGGGCUACGAAGACACACGGGUAGAUUCCCUUGUGAACUUUUUAUGUCGUUCGUCUAAAUAUAUUUUUGCAAUGGGCAUACCCUACUCUGAAAUCCUGGGUCCGCCACUGAUGAUGAUGGUCUAAACAUAAAACAAGCCUAGAUUAAUUAGCUACAACUGAAAUUAAGCAAAGGUUAAUGUCAUUGACCCUAGCUCUAUCCUAGCUUUUACUAAAGUCCCGGCACAUAUAGUGGUUGGGCCCACUCUCUCUACUUCCCUCUCUGCUGCAUGCACACACACGAGCAACUGGAGGCCCAACAAAGCCCAGAAGGGUUCGGCCGAACCCGUCCGAUCCAGUCUGAGCGCCGCUCCCUCCCAGCCUUCGCGCAGAUGCUCCUCCAACGUUCCUUGACCCCUCCCUCAGUGUCCCAUUGGGUUUAACAUUGUAGGAGAGGAGUCCCUUUUUUAAAAUCUCAACCACCUCCUCUCCUCAUUCACUCCACUCUCAUCUCCAUCAAACUCACCAAGAUCCACAUCGGAAAUACCUGCUUACCACCAUGGCUGGCAAAGCCCUCGUCCCUUUCACCAACUUGGGCUUGACCAUUGAUCUCGAUGGGAAAAUCACUCCAGCAAAUGUCAUUGUCCCUGUCGGCGAUCUGGCGAUGGAGGAGGUCCAGGCACUAGAGGUCGAGCCCCUAGCCAUCAUACCGCCCAAGGGGUAAAGCAGGAGCAUGACAGGCGCUGCUAGGGGUUCAGCCGAACUCCCAGUUCAGCCAAACGAGGACGGCGUCGCCUCGGCCUCCCGCUCGACUGCAUGCUUCCCCUUGCCAAGGAGGACUCCAGAACAGCGGGCGCGUGCGUCAAGUCCCUACAAAAGGCUGAAAUACAAUGAAUAUCCAGGGUCACCCUUGAAGAUGGGUGAACGCUACGCCGGGUCCUUGUUUGACUAGUACGGCGAUGCAUUCUGCCACCGCUAUGUCGUUGUCGAGAUUAGCGGAUCAAGACUUAGACUAGUAAAUUUCUUUUAUGCGCGUAAGGCUUCAGAUGGUGGCGUGGGAGACAUGGGUUUUAUACUAGUUCGGGCAAUGGAAUACCCUACGUCCAGUGUCUGGAGCUGCUUGUGUUGCCCACGCGGGGUUCUGUAGUAGGGGUUACAGGUGUGCGAGAGAGGGAGCUAAUCCCAGGUCUCUUAGGCGUGUUCCGGUCCUCUAGAUGGGAGAAGUGUGUUCUGUUUGCUUGGGAGUAUCGGUUGUGUCUGAGUUGUCUCCGGAGCCUCCUCCCGUCUCAGGUCCCCGAUUCUCCUUUCAUAGCACAAGGAGACCAUCGGGGUUACAGACGAGACCGAGCGUGGGGAGGAGUAAAGAGAUAAACAUAGCUAGGUAAAAAUACAACAAGAAAGGGGGGAACCAAGUUUCUAGGUCACCGGCGUCCUCGCCGGCCUUCGACUUCCGCCGGCGCAUUUGUCGGAGGAGGGUGGCCGCCAUCGCGUUCUGUCGAUGGCUUCCUCGGUGACUGUAGCCACCGGGCGUGAUGAUGGCAUUUCGUCGUGACCCUUUGUCUGUUGGGGGAGGCGGCGGAUCCUGCCAUUCUGCUGACGGCUCGCGGAGUGCGAACGUCGCAUCCCUGCCGCUGGGCACGCGGGGCGCGAGAACGUGCGAGGCUUCCCCCUACCCCAGGCGGCGCAGGCCAUGAGUGCCCUGUGGCAAAUCGGAGGAGGCCGCAGCUACUGUAGCUUGUACUGUGCAGCCACGUAUGGGUACUUGUGGCAGGUUGCGUGGUGGAUGCGGAUAUCCUUCUCCCUGACAGAUCUGCGGCGCAUUUAUGGCGAGAUCGACAUGGGGACCCACAAGACCCGCGCCCAAGGCGGAUACUUGUCUGGAGGGCCCGGGUUAGCCUGACCCCCUACGCUUGGGGUCGGGCGAGGCGGAGACUUGCGGCGGGGCGUCGGACGCUCCCGACACUAGACCUGCGGUCGCGCAAGGCGGAGCUUGGUCUUCCGGGGGUCGGGGGUGCCGGACCCCAGGAUGCGGGGUCGGGCGAGGUGGAGCGUAAUUCUUGCCUCCCAUGUUGGGCCGAUGGCAGUCUUUGUUACCUCUAGUGGGCUUGGGCCUUUAUGUUUUGUUGUUUCCAUGGGCUUCGAGAGGUCGUUAAUAUUUCCCCCCAACAGUAGCCCCCGAGCCUGUGGUGGAGUGGGGGCGCUCCUCCGGAGGCUACUAUCAUCGCCCCUAGGGAAUCCUCGCAGUUGAUCCGGGAUAGGAGGUGUUGUUUGCACGGCUUGACCGAGGGGGUCGAUUAGGCGACGCAUCCUGUGAGCGACUCGGUGCGGGAGGGUUUCUUGUUGUUCCCUUCUGUCUGAGAGCCUUAAGUCGAGACCACCUGCGUGGCCUUUGGUUGCAAGGCCAGCCCCCGAGCCCCCGCACGUUGCAGGGGACCGGUCGGAGGCUAGGUCGACUUUUGUUCAUUACCCUCAAGCGUCUGUUCGCUAGGACGGAGGGGGCGAGCCGUGCCAUGCUAUCCUCAUCGGACGAACCAUGGUGCUCAUUGAGUUACUAACGGGUUGAUUCGAGUGGGAUCCCGGUCCCCGUUCGGGGGGGGUCCGGCUUGGGCCAAGCUGGUGGCGUACCCCAGGCUCCGGUCGGCCAGUUCAUAUAGUUCCUGAGUCCGUUCGGUCGGACCGGGGGCUCAUUGCCUUUCUUCGGGGAAAAACCAUGAACUUUGAUGCCGGUCCAGACUCGAAUGUGAGAUUGAGACGCCCGGGGCUGUCGCGUGCCCGGGUGAUGGCCGCUAGCGGACCCGUCUCCUCUCACCCCUCACUCGGGGGUAUCCUGAGGCGGCUGUCGAACCCGUGGCGGGCCAGCCUUCGAACCUCUGGAUCGUAAUGGGCCGUAGGGGCGUUUUCAGCCCCGUAUCCCUUUUUACCUUUUGGUGGGCCUUGGGCCGAAUCAUGGAGGAGGUCGGGCCUUGGGCCGGAUGCGGAGGAUGUCGUGCCUUGGGCCGGAUGUGGGGGACGUCGUGCGUGUCUUCCGGGAGACGAAGUGGUGGAGGGUGCCAACCCGCGAAUCGAGGGAGGAGGGGAUGUUUCUACUGCAGGUCAUGCGCACGGUUUCCGAAAAGGCAGCGGGCGUGACGGGACGUACCUCGCGCCGCAUUUAUUGCGAUGGGGGCGUCUGUUCUGCUUCCCUCGUGCCUUCCCUAUAAAACGAGGACUUCGCCUCGCCGGUUCCGCCCGCCAUCUACCUUCAAGCCUUUUCGCCUCCUCGCGCGCCCUUAGCUUUCCUGUGCCCGCUUCGUCUUCCUCCGCCCAGUGCCGCGCCCUUUCUCCCCAUCCGCCGUCGAGUUCUUCUCCCUCCGGCGAUGGGAUCCUGGGCGCGUUCCCACUUCGGCCCCUCACGCGCCGAAGGCCUAGUGAGGAAAGGCCUCCUUUGCGAGAGGACGGAGACGGAUGAGUGGGGGUUCCCUGAGAUGGAAGAGGUGCCGACUCCGCCCACCGGCUACGUCGUUUCCUUUGCCCACUUCCACGAGAGGGGGUUUGCGACUCCGCCGAGCCUCUUCUUCCGCGGGCUUUUGUAUUACUACGGGCUUGAGCUGCAGCACCUCAACCCCAACGGGAUUCAGCACGUCGCGGCGUUCGUUGCGGUGUGCGAGGGGUUCCUGGGCAUUGAGCCCAACUUCUCGCUGUGGAAGUACUUCUUCACGGUCAGCCUAUACCAGAAGGCCGAGAAGAGGGGAAGCCAGCAGCGGUCGACCCCGGUGCCGAUAGGGUGCGUCGGAAUCCACCUCUGCCAUACUCGCGCCAAGGAGUAUAUCGCGAUGAAGACCGCGGCAUCCCACAAGGGGUGGCACCAGCAAUGGUUCUACGUGAAGAACUACUCCAACCCCCCCUGCCGGAGUUCACCGGCCGCAUUAUUGAAGCGGCGCCGGAGGUGUGGGUGUACGGCCCGGUGGAGAAGGAGAAGAAGCGGAUCACCGGCCUGCUGCAGGCCAUCGAGCACCUGAAGGAGAGGGGACUGACCGGAGCCGGAGUCAUCGGGGCGUACCACGCCCGGCGGGUGGCGCCGCUGAUGCUCCGGGUCCGCUCGCUCGCCGACAUGACCCCCGGUGCUCUCACCGAUGGCACUGUCCUCGCGACGGGUGCUCUCGCUGCCUCCGAGAUCCGGCAGCGGAUCCGGGAGGCGCUGGAGGACAAGGACGCCGAUUACCCGGUGCCCGGCCACCCUCCGAUGCGCCCGGACGAGAAUUUCAUUGAUCUGGUAAGGAUUUUGCGCGCCAGUUUCCCUCUCUUGCGUUUCUUGGUAUGCCGUUCUGACGCGAGGCCCUCUGUGUUUGCAGGGUAGCAUGACCCGGGUCGUCGACUUGCGUCCGCCAGUGUCGGAGGACGCCGAGUGGCGGUAGCAGAACCGUCUCCUUGCCGAGAAGCAAAAGUGACGCAAGGACAAGAGACAGCGAAGAAGAAGAAGAGGGCCGCCAAGGAGUUCCAGCGGCGGCGGUGGGGAUAGGUCGUGUCGGAUGACGAUGACGAUGAGAAGGAGGAGGAGGAUGACGAGGAGGAGGAGGAGUUUAUCCUGUCCCCCCGGUCAGGGGCGCUUGUUAUCCGGGAGCCGCGCUCCCAAGCGGCCAUGGGGGACAAGGCGGGCGAGCUGCCUGCCCGGACCCGAUCCUGCGAAGCUUUGGGGGCGCGCCCCAGGGGUCGGCGCAGAGCGCCCCCCGGGGGUCGACGGAGCCGACCCCCAUCCCUACACCUGCAGCCCAGGAGCAGAGGAGCAGCGACAAGCGGCCGUUGCCAGAUGCCCCGGGGUCGGCGUCCAGCUCAGAGGCGAAGCGCGCGCGCCGCCCUUGCGCUGGGGGAACGUGAGUUGAAUUUCCUUGCGAAUCUCGUUCCUUUCCAUGCAUUGUGUUUGUUUCCGCUGAUGCUGUUUGUUGUCUCACAGCACCGCCCCUCAAGGCCUUGUCCCGCCGUUGGCGCCAAAGAAGGCGUUGCGGUGUUGUCGCCUCUGCGGGGCGGACCGCGGCUCCGCCGGCGGCGAGUGGCGGGGUCACUGGUGAGACCGCGGGUCCUACCGCGGAGGUGGCCCCUGCGGCGGCAACCGGUGGAGUGGUGCCACCGCCGGGCAUGGGACAGGGUCUGGACCCCGCUCCGUCCUCCGCCUCUUCGGCCGACCCCGCGGUGCAGAGUAUCGCUCCUGGGGGCCCUCAGGCCGGGGAGGUGAUUGACCUCGACGCCGACGAGGUGGAGGAGACGGCGGCGGUGGAGACGGGGGCGGUUGCCCCAGCGGCCAUGACGGGGACGACGACGGCGACGGGGGAAGGAGAGUCUACCCCCGCGGCCACGGCGGGGACAGUGGCGACAGAGGAGGCGGGGACGCCCGCCCCGGCGGCUGCGACGGAGGAGGCGGCGGUGACGGAGACGGGGGCUUCCGCCCGGGAAGCCACAGCCGAGGUGGCAGCGGCGACGGAGGUGAAAGUGCCUGUUCUGGAGGCCACGGUGGGGGUGGGGACGCCUGCCUCGUGGCCACGACGGAGGGCGAGGCGGCCCCAGGGACACUUGCUCCGGCACCCGCGUUGGAGGCGGUGGCGCCGACGGGUUGGCCCGUGGCGGCCUCGACGGGGGCGGGGGUGCGUGCGCCGGGACCGUCGGUGAGGCCGGCGACUUCCGGGAUGGUGGUGCCCGUCUUGACGGCGGCGGCGGCGCGGUCGGCCCCCGCCCUUGCCUCUACCACUCCCAUUCCCAAGGCGUGGAGCGGAUCCGUCCUGCGUUGGUCGUCUCGUGACGACCCGCAGAGGCCCCUCUUCACGUUGGAUGAUGCCACAGAAUGGGGCAAGUGGCAGGCGCUGCAGGGCGGACUCGCUAACGUCCGCGCCGCUCUAUCUUCGGCGUUGGGGGAGCUGGACGGCGUCAUCUUCCCCGGUGGCCGGGUAUGGUGCUUUCUCCGUUGGUUAUUUUCUUCCCGUUACUUCGUCCCUGAUGGCACAUUGUUCUGCAGGCCCUCCAAGAAUGUAGCCGGGGAAAAUCUGAUUUCCUUUGGCUCGAGCAGGGGCUCUGGGAGCGCUUCAACUUGGAGUUGCAGCGGACCGGGGAGCUGACCAUGCAAGUCGCCACCGUCUAGCAUGUCAUCGACGAUCUGCGAAGGCACGAGCAGGCGGCACAGGAGGACGCGCGGCGGGCGGAGGCCAAGUUCCAGGUCGUUGCCGAAAGGGCUCGCUGCGACCGCGAGGAGUUCCAGGCCGUUGCCGAAAAGGCCCGCCACGACGCUGAGGAGCUCGCACGGCUGAAGGUGCAGCAUGAAGCUCUUCAGAAGAGCGGCAGAGGGCCUGGCAGGACCGGGACGCCGAGAAGGUCCGGAAGGAGGAGGCUGAGAAGGUGGCGGCCAACCUUGGGGCUGAGGUCAGCCAGCUCCAAGUGCAAGCGCGAGAGCUUCAGGCCUCCGUGGCCCAGGGGCUCGACCAGGAGCGCCAGCUGAAGGCCUAAUCCGAGGGUAUGACUCUGUUUAUUUCUUUGUCUUUGUGAUGUUGCGGUGAUAUUUUAUUUGGCGGGUUCUUCUGGAUGAUCCUUGCAGAUGAGCUCAACUGGCUGAGGGAGGUGCUUGACGCGGAGCGCGCUGAGCACGGCGACCUGCGGGACGCGGUCCGCGUCAUCUGUGACUUCCUUAGUGUGGUCCAGGGGGAGGGGACGAGCUCGCUGGCGGCUCGUGUCCUCGGGACGUACCGCCGGACCAGCGAGAUCGCCCUGGAAGCGCUUCGCACCGGCUUGAGGCAAGCCUUUGGGGUCUUCGGCUCCCACUAUUCCGGCAUCAACUUCGCCGGGAUGAGCGGGGGAUACGCCACCGGCUACUACGAGGCCGAGCUGGAUGAGAUCGACGUGUCGGUGCUCAGCCCGGCGGAGGCCUUGGUGAAGCUCCUCGAGGAUGAGGCCGUCCCGCCCGAAGAUCCCCGGACGAGUUAACUAUAUCGGGCUGGCGCCCCAGAUGUAAAUACGUUAGGGAAAGACUUGUUUUUUGUGAGGGCCGUAGAGGCCUUUUCUAUGAAUUGUCGUAAAAAAGUUUUUGAUUCCCUUUCUUGCUUUUUGGACUUGGAAAGUUUAGAGCACGUUGUCGGGCGUGUCAGUAAGCUUUGAUGAGCGAAGGCACCGUAGCCGCUGGGGCGUCGUUUUUUUUGCAGUCCGAUCAAUCUUGCCUGAACACCGUUCGUGCACUUUCUCCUUUUUAUGCCCAAAAGUUCAGAAAGAGGGUCGGCUCGGAAAGAGAAAGCGUUUUGAGAGGGUGUCAAGUGGCUUAGGUACUUGCGGCAGGUUGCGUGGUGGACGCGGAUAUCCUUCUCCCUGACAGAUCUGCGGCGCAUUUAUGGUGAGAUCAACAUGGGGACCCACAAGACCCGCGCCCAAGGCGGAUACUUGUCUGGAGGGCCCGGGUUAGCCCGACCCCCUACGCUUGGGGUCAGGCGAGGCGGAGACUUGCGGCGGGGGGUUGGACGCUCCUGACCCUAGACCUGCGGUCGGGCGAGGCGGAGCUUGGUCUUCCAGGGGUCGGGGGCGCCUUACCCCGGGAUGCGGGGUCGGGCGAGGCGGAGCGUAAUUCUUGCCUCCCAUGUUGGGCCGACGGCAAUCUUUGUUACCUUGGGUGGGCCUGGGCCUUUAUGUUUUGUUGUUUCCAUGGGCUUCGAGAGGUCGUUAAUAUUUCCCCCCAACACUAUGAGGAGGACUUGUGGGCAGAAAGUCAGCUACCACAAACUUGCCUCUGAAUAUUUGGAGUGCAAACAUUGGAUGGUGGUUGUGGAGAGCCCCAGCCAUACCUCGCACCCGUGGAGAGGUAAUUGUCGGAUUGCUUGGUUCGUCUCUAGAAUGCGACAAGGUCAGGCGCCACCUCUCACUGCUGCCAGUCAGAAGGCCGAGGGGCCAGUUUCAACAUAGUAAUGAGAAUCUCCGAAGGCCAAUAUGGUUAAGCAGCUAACCUCCAUGAUCAUAGACUUACGUUUAGAAAAUAGGAGGCUUAGCGAUGCGUUAACAGAGCAGAAGUUAGAAACAGAAGAACUUAAGGACGACUUCCGUGUCCUCCGCCUUGGUCUUUGUGCUAAGAUAAAGCGCUUGUACAAUGCCACGGGGAAUGACGGUCUCUACGAUGCAGCUCAAUAGACGUGCCCCUUGUAUCCUUUCCUUUAGGCACUUUAGAAUAUGUUUAUUUGUUUUCCUUCAUUUUAAUUUCCAAUAGAUUGUUAGCGCCUCCAAUUUAAUUUCAAUAAAGUGUAGACUCACCGGUCAUCCAACUUGAUGGAGUCCUUUUGUCACCUAGUUGUCUUUGGAAGAAGUAGCUGGGUACAAAAUAAGUGUGGGGGAGAGCCACAGACUCUCUAGAGCUGAAACAAUGCACAACACCCACAAAUAGAGAAAACCACGCUGCACCAGCACGUACGUGAAAGUGGAGCCAGAGCUGGACCCAUAGGGGUUUGGCCAACCCAAGGGGUGGCCCACUCGGGCCAUCUUCAUCCACCGCGUCGGUUUGUGUCUCUUUACCCCUGAUCUCCCUGAUUCAUGAGUUUGAAUGAAUUUUAAAUCUGAUCAACUAAUUCAAACUCAACUAAAAUGAAUCAACUGCUCCACCUGCUCUACAUGUUUUCUAUGGUUGGCUUGCAUAUGUUUUAUUUCAUGCUUAUCAUCUUGAUGCUUGUGAACAAAUAUCUUUAGGACAGCAUGCUCAUCUAAGUAGUUGAUGUGUAUGAUAUGGUUCGAUGAUAUGAUCUUCACUCUUAAUGCUUAAGUGCUUGGGAAAAUCUAUUUGAAAAUUUAAAAGCCUUUUUGAAAUCUCCUCUUUGAUGUGCCAAAGUCCUACCAAAGCCAUAUGAUAAGUUAUCUUGAAAAACCAUUUGCAUAUGUUGCUUGUCUUUGCAUUGAGCUUUGUCAAAUUGGUGUGACCCUUGUCACAAUUCUUUUCAUACUUUCAUGAUCAAGACUCAUGUGCACGCCAUAUACCCCUUGCUAUGCUUCUAUGAGAUGUUAGCAUUGUACCAUCCAUUCAUUCCACAAAAUAAAUGCUCCACCAUAUGUGUUGGUCUCCUUCUAAGAUUAUUGUUACAAAAGAGAUAUGGGCUAUCAAAAAAAAAUAUGAAUGUCCAAGAAAGUUGGACACAUGAAUGUCCAAUAAAAAGAAAAAGAAAGAUAGCCAUGUCCUCAGAAAUAUUUACAAAGGGAGAGAGAUCAUACAAAAAGGAGUUUCCAUUCCAUCCACCACAUCCAUACAUGUGCACAUCUUGAUCUGAUUGUAUGACUUAUUUUUCUCUUUGGAUCUGGUCUUUGACUUUGCAAUAUAUGUGAUGCAAGCAUGCCUUAUCCUUCAUAGCCUACCUUGAGCUCCACAUAUAGCCAUCAUUAGAAGUAGGAUGAAGAAAGGCAAGUCUAAUGCCUUGGUGAGGACAUAUACACAUUGAGUGAUCUGAGAGAAUCAAAUGAGGAGCUAAGCAAGGUUUUGUUUUGAAAACUAAUUGAAAAAUCCCAAGCUACUUGGCAUAAGGAGUUGAGGUGACUUGAUUCAAGACCAUUACAUUCCUCAACUACCCAAGAUGGCAUGAUAGACACUCCAAAGUUCACAAGUGCAGGUAUGGUUUGGAAUAUCUUUUAGGCUCGCUUCAUACCUUUGAAAGUUAUGUUUCACCUUAGUCCUUUCUCGUUCACUCAAGGAUAAGCAAAGGCUAAGUGUGGGGGUGUUGUUGAUGGCUCUUAAGUACAAAAUCUGCGCCAUCAACUCUUGCAUAAACACAUAAAAUAUGAGCAUCAACAAUAGUGGUAGGAGUUAUUACAAACGAAUUCCACAAGUCUUGGUGAAUAUUUGUAUGCAAGCCCAAUAGGAGAGAAAAGACACCUCAAAAGCAAGGAAACACACUCUCAACCAAUCAAGAGCAAGCACAUGGAACCAUGGGCCCACAACCAAAAGGAAAUCGACUACAUUCCAAACACCCUAUACCCACAUGAGAACCCAUAGGGCAGUGACCCAGAGCAAAGGUGAUGCCAGAGUGUAGAUGGUAGUUAGCAUGCCAAAUUUUGAACCGCAAGCGCUCGGAUUAGUUGUUUCUUUUCCCUUAGAGAUUCCCCCAAGGUUUAUCAAUCCAUGGAACAAGGGAUUUGCACGUUUCACUAAGCACUAAUCAAUGUAAUUGAAAGCUUUUCGAAUAAGAUAUGAUUAUGCUAACAAAGGAACUAAGCAAUCUAGAUUAAGAUGGAUAGAGAGUACAGGUUGUGAACAAGAUAGAUUAAACGCUUGUAGAUGCAAUCACCAUGCAUGAAUGAAUUAGAUCUAGGUGUUAUUGUGAGUGGUUGUGAACCAUGCCCAACACUUUCCCACCCGCAACAUUGUCACUACAUGUGGGUACUCAACUAUCGGAACAUAAGAACACAUCAAGAUGAUCAUUCUAGGUAAGCAAAUAAGCAACCCAAAGUAGCGCUGGCCAGCCUUUUCAUGAAAGAGCAUCAUCAAGAUAAGAUUGAUAACAAAAUAGAUCUCAACCAAAGGUUCAGCGAUUACAAAUCAAGAUCUUCGUAUAACCCCGAUGACAAAUAGAGGUAUUACCCCCAUGAUCUUACACAUGUUGAUGAAUUUUAGGGUAAAGGACACCCUGUAGAUCAACUGGACCAAAGAUGAUGAUGAACGGGGGCAGGGAAGGCCCAGGUUGAUCAGCCUGCGCACUUUUGAGCCGAUCAGCUCAGGGGGUUUCCUCCUCCCCUGGUGCUCCUCUUCGCGUGGCCUCCUCUGGAUCCAAUCUUCUCUUCAUUUCUCCUACUUGUGGCGGCAAUGGAUGGUGUUUGCAUGGUGAUUUCCUCUUCUCCCCAACUCUCCCUCCUUGAAGUCCAUGAGGGGGUAUUAAUAGUCUCCAAUAGGCGGCAGCUCUGGGUCAAUGUCAGUGAAAAAAUCCUAGAGAUCAUCGUACACUUCAUGCUGAGGAAACAAGAGGUUGACCGAGCCCUGGGAUAGACCAAGAGGAUCAUCCUAGAGGGUCCCAGGCUAAUCGGUCUAGGCCCUUCCUAGCCCUUCUAGUCCUCUCCUUCCUCGUGCUGGCUUUUCUCGAUGACCCUUGUCCAAAUAUCCAUGAAGCUCUAUAUACAUACCCCCUUGAUUAUGUUGUAUUUCCUGUCAAAAUACAAUGCUCCAAAAUACAACACAUAUGCAAUAAUAGGGUUAUUUCAGGUGCCAAUUGGUGGGUUAGUAUACGAAUAAGCAUGAAAAUACUGUUUAAAUGACACUAAAAGUGUGUCAAUAACGAGCACCAACAAUCCCCCCACGCUUAGAUCUUGCUCGUCCUCGAGCAAGUCUAGCGACUAAAAGAUCUUGAAUUAAACCUGAGCAAGCGAGUCAAGUACCUAGCCUUGAAACAAAAGAUUAGAGGAGCAGCAAAGAUAAUCAAAGUCUGGGUGUUCAAAGAUUUAUCUAAGCAAAGAUUCCCCUACAACUAUUAUUCAGAACCAAGUAACUUCAAAAAUCAACUACACUUAUUUUCUGGCUUUUUUCAGAGGGUUUUUCUUUCAUCAUAAAACAAUCUCCCUGCAACAAAAUUGAAAAAAGAAUUAUUUUCAAGGUGCUUACAUGUCGCUUAAAUGAAUGUUGGCUAUCCUACUUAUUUGCAAGCUCUCAUCUCUCAAAAUUCAUUCAAUUAUAUGGUGGAGUUUGGGUAAGGUUAGCUAGAAUCAACACGUAUAUUAUUGAAUUAAGAAAACCCUCUAACGGUGGCCUACCUUCCGAGCCAUUGAUCAUAAGAAUAUCCACAUAAUGUGAAGUUUUCAAGGAUGAGAAGAUAUAGAAUGGUGGACAUGUGCAAAGGCAAAGAAAUAUAGUGACUCUGAGGCACAAGCAAUGUCCUCGUCGUUGGAUUGCAUAUGGUUGUAAUGAAAAUAUGUUCCUUAAACAAGUCUAUCUUUUCUUUGCACCACUCUUGAUCUUCAUGACAGUAAAAACUCCUCCUUUAUUUCUUUCUCUCUUUUCCUAUUAUUUCUUUUUAUUUGUCUCAAUACUUUUAUUUCUUUAUUUCUUUAUUUUAAUCUCUUCUCUGAACCUCUUCUGAACACCACAUAAUAAAAAUAAGUUUUAGAUCCUUCCAGAGACCUUCCAGGAAUUUGCUACAUGAAAACCGAGGCAAGGAGACCCCAGGCCGAUUGGCCUAGCCACUCCUUUGCUCUCCUCUAGCUCUUCUUUCUGGUGAAGCUUCCUUAUCUUGUAUCUUUCCAAAAAUUUCAUAAAGCUCGACUAGAAACGGAACAGAUCUUCAUAUAAUGAGUUGUGUUCAAGGAAUUGGUAAUAAAAUUGAGAAAUUUGUGGUUCGGGUUUACGAAUUCAGUACAAAAAUAUGAUUGUUCCAAUGAAGAACUCUCAUUACUGAAUAUUGACGAGGCAAGCAUUCAAAGAUGGUAAAAAGGAUAUGAUCAAUUCUCAAAAUUAAAGCAAACCAAGAGAGAGCGAUCCUAAUUCAAUUCAAAGUGUCAAAUGUUGCUUAUGGUGGUAUGAAUAAAUAUUUUUAGGCAUUGGGUAGGAUAAAUAAAAACUCUCAACCUGGUUAAAAGAUAUUGAUCAAUCUUGUUUUUGCAGAGGUUUUAAAUAAAAAAUAAAAUUUUAAAUCACCUCCAAUUCAAAGCCUUACUCAUAAAUCAUAAUCAAAACUGAAGCACUUGAUCAUCAUAAAGCAUGGGUAUUGCAUAAACAAAUCGAUUACUAAAACUCCACAACUACGAUUUAGAAUUCAAGACAAUGCUCAUAAUCUAAAGUUGCAAAGAUAAAAUAAAAGACAACCAAGCCAAGGUAGACACUAAAAACACUUGCACGAUCCUUGAAUUUUAUUCAUGCUUCUUCUCACAAAGACGCUAAAGUAGCCAUGUAGGCCUAAGUCUUCCCAAAAGCUUAAGAAAACUACUACUUUAUCUACUUUUGGUUGAAAUAAAAAGACUAAUCUAGACUCUCACAUGAUUCGACUCGACCAAAUUAGAUCCAAAAACUCAUACGAGCGACGAUCUCCCCCCCCUCACGCUUAAAAUCUACGACCUCCUCGUCGUAGCCAUAUGGAGUACAAGGAAAAGAAGCUUGUAAACGCUCUAAUGACGCUACCCGCACUACUUGCACACGGGAUGGUUGCUGCUUCCUUCGCUUUGUUCUUCCUCAUGUUGCUGCACAUCCCGAAGAGCUUCCUCACGUUCCUCUGCAAGAACUUGAACUCGUCCUCCUGACGGCGAUCAUUAUCUUCUGCCUUUUGAUCCAGAGCUUGUAAGGCUUGCAUGAUGUCAUCGAACGCAUCGAAGAGGUAGUGGAUGUUCUUCCUGCAAGCUGUGGAACAUGUACGAUCAUGCUCCUCCGAUUCUGGCCCGUCGUCUUCUAGAUCCUUCUCUUUGCCCUUGUCUUGACGGUGGCUAUCUUGCUCCUUGCUCGCCUUCUUGCCUUCAGCCCAAUCCCAGUACGUGUUGUCAUCUUCUUCAUCGUCACGGCCUGCAGCACCCUAUGAUCCAUUGUCUAUCUUGUAUGAAAGAAUCAGAAGCUUGUUCUCCUCAGGGUGUCUUGCGCGGUGCAGCGUUUGCAAGUGCAAGACUUGCUAGUUCCUUUUACACAUUGUAAUGUUCAUUGCAUGCUCUAAUUGUUCUACAUUUGUAAUUUCUUGGUGAAGUUUGGUUACUGAUCCACUGUUUGAUUAACUCUUGGGCCCAAACACUGUACUACUUCUGAUUAGAUAUCUGUAUCUUGACUUUGACCAAAAAAAAUAUCCGGCAGUUUUUGCCAUUAAAGUUUCAUAAAUCAUCUUGCAAAAAUCGUACUAUACAACAAGGGACGGUUUAUUAUAAAAUAUACGUUCCCCUUAUCACAUGCCACUUCCACUCAAAAGGCAACGAAUCAGUUUUCAAUCCUGAGUGAGCAAUUUGCUUUUAUUACCGAUGCCUCCUAUUCCCUUGUGCACCAAGUUUAUUUUGGAUAGGGCUGCAAAAAACGACUAACCAGCUCGGAUUCUCCACCUGCAAAACCGCAUCUGCAGCAACCAACCCCACGCGGUGGAAAAAAAAACAAAACCUAGAAACCGGACGGGGGUGGAUGUGGGGCUCGGAGCCCAAGCAAAAAACGGAUCGGGAGCGCCGGAGCAGGCCAUCACCGGAUGUUAGAGAUAGAAAAUGGUUGAAGUUUGGAGUGGAAAUCAAACAAGCCUUGGAGCAAAGGAAAAAAAAAGAUCAAACCACUCAAGCAUUCAUUUGAUUUAGAAAAGAGAACAUUUGUUAAGGUGGGGAGUUGAAAUCAUCUUUUAAUUAGUUCCACGUAUCUGGUAUCAUUACAGUUGGUUUACUUGUGUAAGUAUAAGUAGCUCUGCCGAAGCCUUUGCUCCUAUAAUUUAGUAACUAGUACAAAUGGAUCAAUAGGAAAAUCAAGUUGCAAUCAUUUCUCAGCCAACCAAACCUAUGUAAAUCAAAUUAUUGUCCAUGCCCGGCAUGCACAGGUGCCUGCCAUGCAUGCAUUGUUGCUCCAUUGUAAUAACCAUUAUUGUCCAUCGAUGUUGCAGCGCAUGUGUGCACUGUGCAGACACCAAGCAUCGAGAUUAUGUACUAGUAAGGUGUUGAAAUAAUGGGCCUAGCCCAUAAGUAAUUUCAGAAUUUCAAAUAAAUCUCAAAGGCCCAUGUGGGCAAGAGGUGGAGUGGUGCAAGUCUUUAGUCCCACAUUGCUAGUCGAGGGGAGGGAUGACCAACUUAAAUAUGGAAGUUGUCUCCACUCCUCCAAGCUAUGUGUGAAGGGCGCGGGCGCGAGGCACUUGCGUGAAUGGUCCGCCGAAAUCUGGCCCCCCUUGCGGGGGCGCGGCUUCCUUUUGCCGUUUUAUUUUUUGGUUACUUGGUCGUUAAGUCAUGGAAUCCUAACCGGUUUAGAUCACGAUCGUGAAGGUUUUUGGGAAGCGCUCUGCGCGACUGCUCGAUCGCUUCUUCCGCUUCGUCAAGUUCUUCGUCGACUCCUUCACCACGGCUCGUCUACCUCUUCGUCGCUCGGGCCUCACUCGUCGUCGCGAACAACGUCAGGCUGCUGAUCGUCGUCGCCUGCUGUAUCCGGUAGUCGUCCAGGAGCCGGUUUUCAUCAAGAAAGAAACGUACGGUCUCUUAACUCACAUUAUGUCUUCCAUACUAGCUAUUAUGAUUGUUGCAGUCUGAUAGCUCUGGAUAGUAUGGUAGAAUGUCUGAUUCUAUUUGCAAUGAUAGACUUGUCUAGAUCUUGCGUAGACAUGUCUAGUUUAAUCUGCUGCUUGUUCAUCAUAUUCAUGAUUUAUUUCUGGAUUAAGUUAAAACUAAAAGUGCUUAUAUAUCCAACAUAAGGUACCAAGAACACGUGAAGCACCCGGGGGAGGCUGCUCCACUCCGCAUGCACAGGUGGGCACGGCACCACUACUCGUCUCCUUCAGGCUGAGGAUAAGUGAUGUACGCUGAUCAACAGACCACGACGGAACCAGCAAUAAUAGUUUCAGCCUGCCUCACAGUAAUUAAUAUAUCCUGUAUCCUCCGAGGACCCCUCCCCUUAAUCUUGGCCUAUUGCAUCCAAUAAUGAUAUGUGUGUUUAUCCAAAUUUACGGCACCUUUGGCGGGGGUUCCACCCAGCUCCGCCCUCUCCACCUUCGGUACUCCAUGGGAAACCAUUCCUUUGGAAUCAAGGAAGCUUGAACAGUAUAACGAAUAAAGUUUCAUAUAUCCAUUUGAUUUCACAUGAAAUAAAAUAUUCUGUCAGAACCAAUGGUUUCACUGAAGCUCCAGGCAGCGAGCGAAGGGGUGAGAGAGGAUAACGCUUACUGUGUGUUACCAUCGCGUGCACCAUGGAUGACCAACGCGCAGCCGAGAUGAAACGGCGGACCUAAACAGGUCCUCGCUAUUUUUGCAGGUUCUCGACCAGGCCAGUUCUUUAGGCCAACCUAUCAUUCACGAGUUAAACAUACGGUGGCUGGAGAAAUGUUCUAUUCUUUUAAACAAUACCAGCUGGUUCCUCCGUUUUUAUUCCACCAAUACAAGCACCACCUUGUAACAUUUCCUAUGUUUUUUUUCCUUUCGUCUGUUUUCUCACUACAUGCGUUGCUCUUUCAUGCAUUUUUUUCCAUUCCUGUAUUCCAAAUAGGUCUACAUGAACACAAAAUGAACUAGGGGACAGAAAAAGCCAGUGAAGUUAGUUUUGAGCUUCACCAGCUACUUGCUACAUAAAGUGUGCUAUAGUCGCAGAAAAGCUAAGCUGGAUCAGACGUGGCCGAAACAAUGCCAAAGAGCUAGGUCCCUAGCUGAUGGCAACACAUCAGAUGACUAGCCUGCUUUUCUGUAAUAAUGAUAUUGAGCAAUACACUGCAUGGCUAACCUGCUUUACAAUAAUUGUCAUUUUAUAAUAUUGGUCAUCACGAGAGAUGCACAUUGCAUACACCGGCCCAUCCCUAUAAAUAGCCAAGCCUUUCAGCCAUCUUGGGCACCUCCUCUCAGGGCCUCGUCUCACCAUCAGACAUCUCGUUCCCAGUUAUAAUUUGCGAGGUUAGAUCAGGCUGCGCCAUGGCGUCCGCAACUGCUGUCAAGAUCGUCGCCACCUUCAUGCUGGUGCUGACCAUGGGCCACCUGAUGGCCGAAGCAUCACCGCAGCCUCGGCGUGUGCUUGCAGAAACGGAGCAUGCUGCGGUGUCCGGGAAUCCUGGCCUCCCAGGUGAUGCUAGCGUCAUGCAGGUCCUCGAACCCGCCCUAGUUUCUCGGCUUGCCUGCAAACCAGAGUGCACAGUCCCUUGGCCUCCUUUUGUAUGUAUCUGCUAGAUCCUCUUCCUGGCUCAACGGAACUUCAGGGAAAUGGCUGUGACGUCGGCCAAAGAAUAAAUUGGAUGAACAUAAUAUACCCCGGGUAGUGUAGCUUGGGCUUUUGUUGAGCGUCUGGUGCUAGUUGUAUUUUGUUUGCUCAUGUGGCUUUGCUUCUGGUUGCAUAUUGGCUUUCCUAUCGCUCUCUGUUGCAGCUAUGGUUUCUGCCAGGUGUGUGUUAAUGCGGUUUGUAAGCGGUGCUUGUUCCUACCUUCUGUUUUCAAUAAAAGAAGUCGGAGUCUCCCUCCGACUCUUGUUAUCAGUCAACAAAAAUGAGUUGUAUCAUAUAUAUCUGCGUCUUUUUUCUACGUAUCUUUGGGCUGCUUCAGCUGGAAGUUUAUCGUAAGUACGUGUAUCAGGAUGAUCGUUUGAAUUAAAACGAAAUGAUAAUGUGUGGCUGCUAGAAAUGGAAUGAGCAUCUUACUAUAUUACUAAUUGGAAGCCUCCACGUGAAGCCACCUAGAAAUUCUAGGUGGACGUUUUAAAAAAAACAAAACUCAUAGAAGCCUCCACCACCUAGGAAUCCUAGGUGGACACUCUAAAAAGAGACAAAUCCUAGAAAUUCUAAAAAAAGAAAAAAAUAAUAACAAUAAGAUUUUUUUGCAGUCAAUUACAUAUAUUUUUUUGAGACACCGUGCUGCUAGCUCUUGCCAUUGCGACCAGUAAAGCAAGCAGAUAGUAAGAUGACAUGCGUGUGGAUUGAUUAAAACAAAUUCAGUUAGUUGAUUCUAAAUCGUAUGUAUCCUAAAAGGAAGAUAUGUGCGUGCAUGGUCCCUAGCGAUGACAUGUAGACAUGUAUUGCAAUUUCUUUUUUAAAAAACAUGUCUAUCUCUAAACCAACAAACAGAAAAAAUAUCAAUCUAAAUCUAAAUCUCUUCCGUUCUCACACGCCUAUUAAAGAGAAGACAACCAAUCCCAUCCAUGUUCCAUAGAAUCCAUCUAAAAGCUUGCUCACUGCGGACGGCAUUUGACGGCAAAUCAAUGAAAGAUCAUCCUCUCCAAAUAGCUGGACGGCAUCACCAUCUUUAUCUCACCAACCUACAGAGCUACAACGAUGUUGUAGAGAUCAACUAGGUAACCUACCAAUCACCCUCCCCUUUUCUAUAUGCUCUAAAGAACACGUGGAGUAAUUAUAGGCCUAUAGGAGCCGACUAACCUAGAUUAAUAUGAAAAAUAUUCCAAUAUUAAAAGCAAGCAGAUAGUAAUACUUGCCUUUGACCAUUUUUCUAGAACUGUUAUUCCUAUUGAAUGUUCAAGUGCUACGGCCAGGCAUCGAAUGCCUGCACGGAACCUUCCUAUUGAAUGGUUACUCUAGAGAUCAACGCACCGCGAGACAUUUUUAUGGAAUUUGUUUGAUUCCCCUUCUACAAUUAGAUUAAUUUUUCAUGGCAUAUAUUACUACUAUUAAAUUAUUUGUUUAUUGUCGGGCCUGCUGCAUGUGUGGUAUAUAUGACUUGCUUCUCACCAUUGUUCUCAAACUAUUAUUCCUAUCGAAUCUUUCUAUCGAAAUAUAUUUUAAUUACUUGAUUGUUGUUUGUGUACCAUAACUUCUGUAUAGAAAAAUUCCAUGUUUGUAGAUAAUGUCUUUUGUAUAGAAAAAUAGCCCAAUUAGAUCCAUCACCAUCUUUUGCUUAUGUAGUUGAACAAGUUGCAAUGUUGAACAAAACUUUAAGUGAAAUUAGACCAGGAAAAGGAAUUGUGGAACAUUAAGGCAAGGGUAACCAGAUUGUGGAAUGCAACCUUACUCAGUAGUGGCGAACAAUUAAGUCUUGACAUGAUCCUUAUUGAUCAAAAGGUAUGAUAGAUGUUCACUUUGAUUGCAUUAUUGGUAUAAUUUUUGGUUUACAAAUUAUUAAUGAUGAUGCAAAAUUAGGGAACCAUGAUCCACGGUGUUAUCAAUAAGCCCUAUAUGAAAAAGUUCAAACCAUUGAUUGAAGAAGGCAAUGUGUACAUAAUUGCAAAUGUCAGAAUCACACCAGAACCACAGAAGUAUCGGCCAGUGGAAAAUGACAGGAUAGUCAACUUCUUACCCACAACUGCACUAAAAACGAUCAAAGAUACUGAAGACAUUCCAAAGUAUAGUUUUAACUUCAUGAGCACGGAUAUGCUUUCAGCAAGAAUAAAUGUGGACAUGUACCUAUUAGGUAAAACAUUACUGGCUUUUCAAUUUUUACACUUCCACUCAUUAAAUGACCAUCUAAUAAUAAUACAUAUUUAUGUUUCAUAGAUGUUAUAGGUAUCUCAGCUCACAUUGGACCGAUAGAAGAAACAAGGACAAACUUCGGAUUUACUAAAAUCCGUGAUAUUGUGCUCCUGAUCGAGUAAUUCUCUUUUCUUUUGUAGAAAACAACUACAAAACUUUCAACAUUUACAUGUAUGUUAUAGAACUUCUGUUGAACUAAAAAAUAUCUUCUACAGUGCCCCUACAAAUAAUUAAUUUCGUAGUUGGAUAUUUAAAAUAUUUAUUAUUCACUUUUAAAUUUGUGGCCAUGAAGUUAAAGUUAGAUUUUGGGGAGACAAAGUUGAGGAAGUUGAUGAUAAGACAAAAUCCCAUGUCAUUGCAAUAACAUCUACAACUGUGAGUAAAUUUGGCAGUAAGUCUUCAUUCAAUAUGAGUUAUUCAAUAUUAGUCAUUCAACAAACUAACCUCGUAAGAAAAAUAAAUAAUUGAUGUUUUAUCAGGGUAUUCUCUAUCGUCAACCAAUGCAACAAAACUUUAUGUAGAUCUACCUAUUCCUGAAACUAAGGAUGCACAUGAUAGGUGAGAAAAAUUAGAUAUUGUUUUUCUAUUUUAAUCUAUGUAGCAUGCACUCUAACAUGAUACAUUCUUUCAUAUGAUAAAAAAAUGUUAGUUCAAUUGAAAAUAUUGUCAAAGAGAUUCAUAUUGAGGACCAUCUAAAAGGGACAUUGGAAGACCAAAUGCAGUACAAUAGAAGAACUUUAGAAGAAUUAAAUUUCAUAUUAUUUGAAACAUCAAAUCAGGUAUGGAUUAGUAUGUUCAUUGUACACUAUACUAUUUAAAGACUUACAUACAUAAUGAUGGUAUUGUUCCUACUUUCAGGAUGAGGUAUUUACUAUUGAAGCAACAAUAAAUGAAAUUAAUGCAACAUAUGGUUGGUUGUCACACCCGAUUUUAAGGACAAAAUUGAGUGCAUUAAAUACAUGUGCACCAGGAUCAAGUUACACACAUCCUAUGAGUACCGUCCUUCUUUGGCACAAAGAUAACCGGUGCUCCCCAUGGUGAUGAACUAGGCCGAAUAAACUAUUUUGCUGAUAAUUCCUCUAGUUGUUGUUUCAAUUCUUUUAAUUGUUCAACCAACAUUCUAUAAGGACGUUUGGAGAUAGGUGCAGUACCAGGUAAAAGAUCAAUAGCAAAUUCAAUGUCGCGGUCAGGUGGCAUACCUGGUAAAUCGUCGGGGAACACAUCCGGAUAGUCACACACCACUUUGAUAUCUUCCAAGGAUUUUCCAGCCAACUGAUUAACUGCACAAUCUGCUGCUGAGGGUAGAGUAGCUACAAACUCCACUUUCUCUCCAUCAGGACCUGUUAGCAGAACUGUCCUCUUGGCACACUGAAUCGUUGCAUCAAAAGCGGCUAACCACCUCAUCCCCAGAAUUACAUCGAUUCCACUGGACUCAAGGACGAUAAGAUCAGCCGGAAACUCUAUACCCAUUAUUCUCAGUUUAACUUGUGGACAGAUGUAUUGAGCCUUCAUUGACCCCCCAGGUGAACUCACUAGCAUAUGACGCCUCAUGGUAUGCAUGGGUAAAUUAUGCUUUGCUACAUAAUGACUAGUGACAAAAGAAUGCGAUGCUCCAGAGUCAAAUAAAACUGAUGCGGGGGCAGAGUUGACAAAGAACAUACCAAGCACUACAUCUGGAGCCUCCUUAGCAGUCUCGGCUUCCAUGUGGUUCACCUUGCCACAAACAAAGCUUUGCUGCCCCUGAUUGCCUUGUGGGGUCUGGUUCCCAUUCCUCGGUUGCUGCAUCUGAUUCUGCCGAGGAGCACUGCUGUUCUGCACGGGGGUAGCUGGCCCACCUCUCUUAGGACAAGAGCUGGCAUAGUGACCAACCUCGCCACACUUGAAGCAGGUAGGACCCACUGGAGCAUUGGGCCUUGUUGGAGUGCCAGUAGGGGUCAUCUGGCGGUUCUGCGUAAAGCUUGGGCGCGGAGUCUGCAUAGUCUGCAUCCCUGGAUGCUGGAACUGAGGGCUAGGGCGCUGGAAUGACUGCUGAGCAGGGCGCGGAAAUGAGUGCUGCCAAAAAUUCCCACUCGGGCCCCCUGCGCGGAACGGCGUCCCUUGCUGUGGAGCAAAGCGAGGGCGGGUGUUGCUUCCUGAAGACUACUGGGAAUUGAAUUUCCUCUUCAUCUCCCCGAGCUCGUUCCUCUUGUGUUCCAGGCCAAUUGCCUUGUCUAGCAUCUUCUGGAAACUGGGGAAGGUGUGCGACAUAAGCUGAUAUUGGAGUGGUCCAAUCAACCCAUCCAAGAAUAGCUCCUGCUUCUGCUCAUCAUCAGCAACAUCUUCGGGAGCAUAUCGGGACAACUGGACAAACUUGUCCCUGUACUCUGCCACUGUCAUGUUCCCCUGCUUGAGAGCAAGGAACUCCUUCUUCUUAAGCUUCAUCAAUCCGGAAGGAAUAUGAUGACUUCUGAAGCUAGUCCUGAAUUCAUCCCAGGUGAUGCCAUUAGCAUUGGCAUGGGUGGUGGUGUAAGCAUCCCACCAAUCAGCAGCUGGCCCUUCCAGGCGUCCUGAAGCAUACAGGACCUUCUCCCUGUCAGUACAUUGGGCGAUAUCCAGCAUCUUCUCCACUGUUUUCAGCCAAUCAUCAGCAUCUAAUGGAUCCGGAGAAUGUGAAAACGUCGGGGGCUUGUGGCUCAUGAACUCCCUAUGCCUGUCCCUUGGCGGCGGCUGCUGCUGGUUGUUGUUGUUGUUAUUGUUCAGCUGAGCUUGUAAAGCUGCCACGGUGUUGGUCAGUCCGGCGAGAAGCUGAGUCUGAGCUGCUAGAAACUGCUCCAUCCCUGCAGGUGCUUGUUGGUUCUGUUGCGGAGCGGUGUUGGGAUUGCUGCUGUUGUCCCUGUGGCGUGGCACUGUGGGACGGUCAACUCCUGAUCCGGACCUGGUGUUUACCAUCUGAGCGUUAGAGACAAUGGAUUUAGAUAGAUGUGUGAAAGAAUAACUGAGAAAGAUAAAGCGACCAGAUGUAAAAGUAACACAGAUUCUGUUAGCUCCAUUUAAUUAGGUGUGGUCGUCAGAAGAAGUGUCCAUAAAUUCUGAACAAUUACCAAGUCGUAACUUAUUAAAUUUGUAAACCAACCCAACUGGAAUCAUCUCAAUCGGACUUCUGGAUCUCGAGUUACAAAAUUAACAAGCUGACAGUGUCGGUCGAUAGGUUCAGAUUCUGAGUGCUUUACUAAUUCGCAUACACCUCCCAGACAGAUACACCAAAAAUUCUGAAAAAUUUACAGAUAGUACUCCACGAAAUUCUGAAACUAACCCCACUGGUUUCAUGUCAUUUGGACUUCUGUAGCUAGAGAUAUAAAUAAAAAAGUACUGGCGUGUCAGUUAAUGUCGAGAACAGAAUUGAAUGUCGCUUAGCUUGCGUGAUGGAUAGAUUUAGACAGAUGGUAGAUCAUGAUUAAGGAAGAUUAAAUACUGAUUUAGAACAGAAAUAAAACCCAACUAAGCACUUUAUUUAUUAAGACCAGUAUCGUGUGGCAAUUGCCCCACAUACCGCACUCAUUACAAAAUCCAACUCAAACAUGUAGCACAAAACCAAUCAUCUAAGCACACUUUAACUAACACACUCGAACGACGUCUAACGAUUACAAGAAUUUAAACUAAAACACUCCUAAUUUCCUAGAGGUCUUCUGCGGCGGUGCCGGGCGAGUCGUAGCGGGGACGCUUAGGCGACGGCGACGAAGCGGGAUGAACAGCAAACUCCUGCGGCGGCGGUGCUCCCGUCGCGGCAGCCAUAUUCGCAUCCCUCUCCCACCGGAGUUCCUGAACCUCCUGUUGAAGCUCCUGGAUGUGGUUGUUUGCUUCAUUCAAUGCGGUGAGAGCUGCCGACGUGUACUUGCGGAGGAAGUCUGUAGCCAUGUCAACCCCAUCGUUAGUAGCGAUGAAGGUUCUUGCUUCCCCACUAGCUCGGUAAGGAAGGAACCGAUGGUAAGUGUGCUGCAAUCGCGGCCGUUCCUUGUGGGAGACGACCUCAAGUGCCCUCCUGGCGGCCUCGGCAAUGCCGGAUUCCAUGGUCCUCCUUAUGGUCACAUCAUGGUGAAAAGCCUUCACCUCCCAUCCUCCCUCGUGCUCCUCACGAAGGACAACCUUCACCUCCCAAAAAGUGGGAUAGCGAGGGUGGGUGAACCGGGAGCACUUGUAGAGUGGCCUCAUGCCGUACCCCAAGCGGUGACAAGUCCACCUGAGUAUGUCGGCCAUGUGCACUCCUUGGCCAUAAUCUUCCUUCACCCAUUUGAUCCAUGUCUCGGGCUCGGGAUCUGCUUCGGGCUCAUCAUCCGUCAAGUCGACGACCGGUACGGGCGUCGGGGCUGGUGCAGGAGCGGGCGCCGGUGCUGGCGACGGUGCUGGUGACGGCGUGGUCUCCUGCUCCACGGUCACGGCGUCCCCGUCAGAGUCAUCCCCCGGAUGCUGGAAGAUCUCUUCCUCUUCUUCCUCGUCCCAAGGCUCCAUGGGGGCGUACGACGGCGCGAUGCCAUGACGCGGCGGACGGGUGCUCUUGCGUGCGGUCAACCGGGUGCGAGCCAUCUAACAGAAAGAAAGAAGAAAAUUUUAGAAUAAAAUUUUGAACAAAGCUAGAUAAUAAAAUAGCAAUAAGGAUGAGACAAAUCAAGUUUAAGAAUAAUUAAGUAGAUUUAAAUUAAGAAAGGUAGGAAUGGCUACUAGAUUAUUAUAAUCCUUAAAUACGACCAUUUUCUAACUAGGCUAACGUCCUACAGUCAACACGGCUCUGGUACCACUUUUGUCACACCCGAUUUUAAGGACAAAAUCGAGUGCAUUAAAUACAUGUGCGCCAGGAUCAAGUUACACACAUGUACGACAAUAGUGAAUAGUAAAGCCAGUGCUAAAUCGAAUAAAGAGAGUAUUAACCAUUAUUACAUGACCGAAUGUCUCAAAUAAACCACAAAGUCUAAUUAUUACGCAGCGGAACUCCAAAGAUGACGACGACUCCAUAGGCAGCUGACUGAAGAAACGUACGCCUAGAACUCCUCGAAGUCGUGGAAGUACUCCUCUUCCCAAUUAACUUGGUCUGAACAGCGGUUUUGCAAGGGUGAGUACACUUAUGGUUGGUACUCAACAAGUCGUGGGAAGUAGUGUAGUGUAAGGCUAAUUCAAGGUAUGGCUAAGGCGUAAAUAGCAUUCGCUUUUAAUUAAGUUGGUCAAAUUUUAUUAGCAUUUACUAAGUAUAAGUUCAUACCACCCGAAAUUAAACAUGAACAUAAAGUAAACCACAUGUGCAUGAAAUGAUAACAAAUUAAAUCCAUCUUCCGAUAAUAUUAUCAUGUGAGGGUCCAGGCCGCUCUUAACCGUGAGCACGGCUGAUUGAUCAGUUUAACACUCUGCAGAGGUGGCACAUCUUUACCCACAAGUCGCGUAAAAGUUCAAAAGAACUUUGGACCCAACCAUGCGGUGUUUGCAAGGCACCAUACCACACUUCCGAGGUGUGAUUGCAUAGGGACGCUACGAGGCCUUUACAAAGAUUCAUUAAUCAGUGGUAACCCGCUAAGGUUUCGGUGUCUGGCGUGCACCACCCAUCCCAGGUAAAAUGCAACGACUCAGUCCCCCCCCUUGAAUCAUCACGAGUAAGGUCACCCCAGACUAAGGUUUCUAAUUAAUCAGCCAAGACCAGAGCUAUUUAGUCUUGUGGUAGCACUGUUUUCCUGGGUGGUCGCUCCAUGUUCUGAUUAACAAAUAAUGAUCUUGUCUUAAUGAAAGGUAUAACAGAAAUAAGGCAAGAUUAAGCAUUGUUUUUAGUUAAACCACCAUGUACCAAGUAAGCACUAAGCAUGAGCUACCCAACAUAAAGUAAACCGGUUGGUCAAGGCAAAGGUAAAACAAUCUAGGCCAACCUUAAUUGGGACCCAUCAAUUUAAUCUUAAUAUGUGCACAGCAUAAAUGUUGAGUACGAGAAAGUAAAGGUGUAUAGGACAAAAAGGUAGUGAUCAAGGACACGACUUGCCUUCUUGGCCUUGCUCCUGCUGUUCGUACUCCUCGAAGGCUUGAUCGGCAACUCCCUCGAACUGCGGGGCGUCUACACGCAUCACACGAGCACAUACAAGCAAACAUGGGCAAAAGUAAGAAAACAGUAUACCAAACAUAGUCAAACAGAGAAAACAAGCUUGAAAAGAUGAUCUACGCUUUAAAACGAACACGCGGAUAUAAAGAACGCGAAAAACGGAGUUAAGAUGCAAAAGAUAUGAUUAAAACAAAAUCCAGGGACUUUUCUGUAAGAAAAACAAAACUUUUAGGGCCUAUCCGCGAAAACCGAGGGCUUAUACGUAAUUAUGCGUAUAAACCGAGGGUCUGAUGCGUAAAAACAUCAAACCCGGACGGCGGGUUGAUUUCUGGAAAGGUCAAGGGUUAAACCGAAAAAUGCGAGGGCAGAUCUGUAAAUACUUUCAACGCGAUCUGGACCGCGGGUUGAUUUGCGAAAAAGGCGGGGGCUAAAGUGCAAAAACUGCACGGCGCGGCUCGGUUGACCGGUACGCGAUCUUGAUUGACUCGCGUCCGGCCGUCGGAUUAAGAUCCGACGGUCGCGGUGAUCCGCGACAUCGCGGCGGCGGCGGCGAGCGGCGGCGAGCGGCGGCAAGCGGCGGCGGGUCGCCGGAGUUAGGCAAAAUAGCGCCACGAGGCACGGUUUAACGCGCGGGUUGCACCAAAAAAGAGAGGGGAACACGUCGAUCCCGUUUUGGGGGUUCUUGUCGACGGGGGCUCACCGGCGACGGCGAACGGCGGCGAGGAAGAGGCGGCGGCGCUAGGAGCUCGGGCGGCUAGGGUUUCGGGGAGCUGCGGCGCUGGUUUUGGGCGGAGGAGACUGGGAGGAGGCGGCGGCUUUUAUAGGGCUUGGAGAUAGAGCCGGCGCGGGUUCAAAUCCCCCGGAGGAGUCGGAGCGGAUGGAGUCCGGGGCGGAGACGGCGCGCGGCGGUUGCGGAGUUCUGACCGGAUUCGGCCGGAGGUGGGAGACGAUGGGUGGGGUCCACCCGUCAGUGGCGGAGGGGAGCGGUAGACGGGCCGGCGCGACCGUGGGCUGGCGCGCGCUCGUGGGCUGCGGGGAGCGGGAGAGAAGCGGCGAGCGGGCGCUGGCGGAGCAGGCCGAGCGGAGGUAGAGCUGGGCCGCGGAGAAAAAGGAGGAGGCCGGCGGGCUGCUUCGCAGGCCGGUAAGGAUGAGGCGGCCGGGCCGAAGAAGAAAAAGAAAAGGAGGGACAAGGAGCUUUCGGCCGAGGGAAAAGAAGAAGAAAAAGAAAAGGAAGAAGAAAAGGGAAAAGGUUUUGGAAUUUGAAUUUAAAUCUGAAAUUCAAAAUUUGAUUCAAACUCAAGCAACCAAAAAUUAUGCUCCAGCAUGAAUGCACAAAUAAUUCCUAUGAUGAAUUAAUUGAAUUAAAGAAAAUGAAUUUAAAUGCCUAGAAAUUAAAUAACACCCUAAUUUGAGCAAAUUUUAAUGAAUUUGAAUUAUUGAAAUUUUGGGUGUUACAUUGGUACUACAUCUCAUGUAGUAGAGGCGAUUGUAAGAAGCAACUUGAAAAGAAGUUUGAUCACUACUAUUGCAAUAAAUGUGACAAGAGAGCCGAACCUAAAGCCCAGUAAAUUAUUUAGUAGUUUACAAUCUUAUUAUAAUACUUCUAUUUCUAAUAGGAGAAUAAUAUUUUCAGAUUCAAAUUAAGCUUCAAAUAAGUGAUCCAACAACAAGUGCAACUUGUGUACUUUUGACAAGGAAGCAGAAAUGAUAAUUAAUGAAUGAGCAGAUUCGAUGAUCACCUCAGUUGAUCAUGAUAAUAAGUAGCUACCAAAAUCAAUUCAGGAAAUAUGUGAAGAAACAUUGAUUUCUCAAUUCAGAUUGACCGAGUACAACUUGACAAGUUUUAGACCUGAUUAUACUGUUUCAAAGAUAUUUUUUCCAAAAGAAAAGGGCAGUUCAAGAAUUGGUAUGGAAAGUGUAAAAAAGGUAACACUUUAUUAUUAAUUUUUUAUUGCACUUUUUUCUUUUGAAUCCGUAAUACUUAAUAAUUUUACUAUAUCAAUGAAACAAAUUCUAACCUAAAUUUAUUUUCUUUUUUAUUAUUUGUAGGAAGUAGAAGACAACUCAGACAAAUGCUACACGAUAACUACCGAGAAUGAAGAGGUAGACACUGAUGACUCUUUUACCGAGAAAGUAACAUUCGUAGAAGAAGCCAUAAGGACUGGGGAAAGAUUGGCUAGAAAAGUAUACUCACUUCCAUGUCAGUGUUCAUUCUAUUUACAAUACAUGCAAAAAAAAUAUUAUUCAUGCAAAAUUGCAGGUCUACUAAGCAUUAAAGGAAUAGCGGAUAGUGCAAUAUGUAAUCUGAGCAGCAUGCAUUACAAAGUGCUCUACUGCAAUUAAAUUAAAAAACAUGAUAUAUGUUGAAUUCUUAGACUUUAUUAUUAUACUUUUCUACGUGACAAUUCACAAUUUUUUAGAAAAAAGAAGAUCCCAGAAGAAGUGACCAUGAAAAAAGGUCUAUGACCAGCAAUAAGAAAAAAUGCAAGCAUAGAAACAAAUCCGUAGAAAACAUAGAAAAUAAGGUACUCCAUAAACAAAAGUAUUCUCUUAUAUUUUUAUUAAAUAUUUUUUUAACACUUGACAAGUUCUUUUUUAGGAUCAAUAUAUCAGCAAUUCAGAUGUCAUUGGAGAUGAAACCUUAGUUCAUCCAAAAGGUCAAAAAAAAACAUCUGAAGAAAGGUGUUUGGCUGAAAAGGAAAAGCAAAAAAGUGGUAAUGCAGACAAACACAUGCAGAAAAAUAUAAAAACAUGUCAUAGGGAGGCAGACCAAUCUUGCAAGGAGGUAUAGACGAAACGUGAUACACGACCUGCCUACCUUGUCGUGGAUACCCCAAGAAGAUGUCAUAGAGGUGCAGACCAAGCUAGCAAGGAGGUCGAAACGUGAUACACGGCCUGCCUACCUUGCCGUGGAUAUUAGCCCUGAGAUCAUUCUACUGUUCAAGGAAUAACACUCAAUGCUGCUGCUGCUGCUGACCUGGCUCCAUAAAGUUAUACUCCUCUAGGUGCUUGCACUAACUUUAUCUGAAGUAUUAUUCUCUCUGCACUGUAUAUAUGGUUAUGGAGUUUGCUGGAGUAUCCGGGGCGAAGAACCUACAUAAUACGUCUUGGAACUAAUUGACAUUGAUUCACAGACAAACUCUACAAGGUGCUGUUCUUGCCAUUUUAGAGCAUCCAAAGGACUAUAAAUAACAUAGUUUACCAUAUACCAUAUACCAUAUACCAUAAUAUGUUAGCUAAAAUAAGAGCAUACACAUGUUGCAGGAGUCCAAAAGCACCGGUUGAGGACCAGGUACAUUGAAUUACUAGAAAAAGACAGGGGACAAGGUUUAGGUAACCACAUGAAACAUUUGAAUUUAUUGUACUAUGAACACUUAGUUACCAUGCCAGGAGCACAUAGUUAACACUAACAUUUAGCCACUUUAGAUCAUCCCGAAUCACCAAUGACCCUCAAUAGUGACAAAUUUUGGUUUAAAUGCCAUCACCAAUGAUCCUCAAUAGUGACGUAUUUAGGUUUAAAUCCCGUCACUAAUAACCCUCAAUAGUGACCUGUUUUGGUUUAAAUCUCAUUACCACUGAUCCUCAAUAGUGAUGUGUUUUAGCAAAACAUGUUAUCAAUGACUUGUCAUUGGUGACGUGUUAAAACGCGUUAUCUCAAUGGCAAAUCAUUGGUGACGUGUUAUCUCAAUGUUAUCAAUGUUCUAUUCUUUUCAACAAUACCAGCUCGUUCCUCCGUUUUUAUUCCACCAAUACAAGCACCACCUUGUAACAUUUCCUAUGUUUUUUUUCCUUUUGUCUGUUUUCUCACUACAUGCGUUGCUCUUUCAUGCAUUUUUUUCCAUUCCUGUAUUCCAAAUAGGUCUACAUGAACACAAAAUGAACUAGGGGACAGAAAAAGCCAGUGAAGCCAAUUUUGAGCUUCACCAGCUACUUGCUACAUAAAGUGUGCUAUAGUGACGUGUUUUAGCAAAACAUGUUAUCAAUGACUUGUCAUUGGUGACGUGUUAAAACGCGUUAUCUCACUGGCAAAUCAUUGGUGACGUGUUUUAAAAAAACAUGUCACCGUGAGAGUCAUUGGUGAAGGGUAAUUAAAAUGCGUCACUAAUGUUGUAGCAUUAGUUAUGAUAAUUUAGUAACGCAAAAAUCUACCAUCAGUAUUGAGCUUUAGAGCCAUCGCUAAUGUGGGUUUCUUACAUAGUGAUGCAAGCUCUACAAGGUGCUGUUGCUGCCAUUUUAAAGCAUCCCAUGACUACAUGUUAAUAACAUAGUUUACCAUAUAUCAUAAAAAUAUUAGUUACAAUAAGCACAUACGCAUGUGGAAGAGUCCGAAUGCACCGGUUGAGGACUAAACACAUUGAAUUACUAGAACCAAAUGUAUGUUUAGAACAAAGACAGGGGUCAAGGUUUGGGUAACCGCAUUAAAAACAUUGGAUUUUACUGUACAUGAACACUUAGUUACCAUUACCAUGCCUUGAGCACCUAGUUACAACAAACAUUAAUUUAGCCACUUUAGAGCUUCCAGAAUCGCUAUAAAUAAUAUACCUACGCCGUACCAUGAAAACAUCAAGAAGAGAGACGGAUACAUGGACCACCAUCAAGCGAGUAGUGACAGCACGCACAAGAAUACCCGGAACCUGUUAGCUUGUCUGUAGUGAUCUGUUUUCUUCCCCAUAAAAUCCAUGAGUAUUGCCACAAAUAAUGAAAGAGGCUGACCAAGCUAGCAAGGAGGUAGAGCAAACGUGAUACACGGCCUGCCAAGAUUGCCCUGGAUACGCCAAUAAGAGCGACAGAUACAUGGAUCACACCAAUAUGGUGAAACGUAUAUUCAUCACACAAGCAAAGCUGGUCAGUUUAUCCAUGGUCAAAUUGUGGUCUUUGUUUUCACUUGAGAGCUAAUUGAGGCACUAUAAUAUGGGCAGGCCUAUCUUCAACAGACAUGACAGCUACAGGGAACUUGACAUAAUUUGCUGGGCCGCCUGUGCACAAUUAUUUGUUUUAUUGUCCUUGCAUAGAAUGCUAAAAUACUCUUUACAAAAUGUUGGAUCUAAUAUUUGAAAUAUAGAGUAGUAAUCAUAUAUUGAUCAACAACUUGAAAUUAUCUGUACAUUCUCGGUGAAGCUGUUGAACUAAUUUUUGCAAAUUAUUAAUUCAUCUCAUUACGUAAAGAAAAAAGUAAGUGGAUAAGAUAUUUCGUGGACCACAUCACUGCAAACAUGUCAUGGAGAGACAGACCAAGGAGGCAGGACGUGAUACACGACUUACCCUAGGUUGCCGUGGAACCGCCAAGAAGAGAUACAGAUACAUGGACCACACCAUCUUGGGAGUAGUGACAGCAUAUAUGCAGAAGAAUACCCCGUGCCUAUUUGCAUGCAUGUCUCAAGUGAUCUGUUUUCUUCAGAAAAUACAUGAGCAUUGCCAGAAAGAAUGGCAAGAGACAAACAUGUCAUAGAGACUUGCAUGUCUUGCCUUGGAUACGCCAAGAAGAGGGACACAUACAUGGAUAACACAAAUCUAGUGACACGUAUAUUCAUCACAAAGGCAAAUCUGAUAAUUUUAUCCAUGGAGCAGACCAAGGAGAAAUUGAUGACGGACAUGUGAUCUCUGUAUUCAGUUGAAAGCUAAUUGAGCUACACUAAUAUGAGCAGGACUAUAUUCAAGAGACUUGUUGAGAGCUACAGGGAACUUGUAAUAAUUUGCUGGGCGGCCUGCGCACAAUGAUUUGUUAUACAUAGUUGAAAUAUUUCAAGAAUUUAUCAACCUCAUACUCUGAAACCCUUGGUGCAAUGUACUCUGCUUUCCGAGGUAGACUGUUCACGUAAAAUGAGGUCAUGCGUAAGACGGAAUCGGAUUGGAUUCACAGGGAAUCAGAUUUGGAUAGCACCUUUUAGCAGGUUUUUAGUCAAAUGCAAAUUCGGAUCCACAUGUGGUUGAAUGCGAGUUCAAAAUUCUACUUGGAUAUCCAUUUAAUUUAGGUGAUAGCAAUUAGCACAAAAUGUUGGAUGAACAAAAUCAUAGUUAGACAUACAAUUACAUGUAUGGUUAAAGUAUAAUACAAUACACCAAGAUUAUUCCUUGAAAAUAUUUCUUAAAAAUAUUAUAAUAAAUGAAUAAAUAUAAUUGUGGCCACCAACAAAUAGUCGGUGGUCGCUAAGUUGGAGCCAUUUCUGGUUACUAAUGCGGCCUUCUCCUCGACCAGCGACGACAGCUGAGCUUGUUCCUUCUGACACUAAAUCAUCAGAGUCUUCCCUCCACUACUAUAGAAUGCACCUUUAGCACCAAUUGGGAAAUCCCCUUCAGUAUUGGAUGCUGCAACCAGUGCUAUAUAUCAAAAUGGAGACUAAAAGCCUCGGUCUUGGGUACCGGUUGCAUAACGCAUUACUAAAGGAGGCAAAAGAGAAAUGUAACAAAAAAAAUAUUUUGAAUUCCAAGAAUGUUUCACUAUUCAAGAUGACUAGCUGAGAGUCAACAGACAAGAUACUAGGAAUGUGGGUGCUUGAAUGCAUUUGUACAGAGGUCAUACUAUUUACAAACUCUUCUAUGUUUCCAUAUGACUACCUACUUCAAUGUCACGCGAGCCAUUCAGCUGGACACAUGGCACACUAGCUUGCAUGUCGAAUCCAUGAUUAAUUAUUUGCACUUGUGAUCUCUUACCAGUAUUUGUCCAGACUAGAAACGUGCAACACAUUUUUAGGAUAUGGACACGCAUAUAUUUGGACUAGUAUACAGGUCACCUUUGGAUGCGUACAAGGAUGACCGGGAGGGACUAAUGGAUACAAGGAAGGGACCAUCAGGAUUAAUAUUGACAUAUGCCACAUGACAAUCUUCAUUGUCAUGCAAUCCCUAUCAACAAUCAUGGAAUCCCUAGUGUACUAAUCCCUGGAGGGUUGUGUGGAAAUUUAUUUUACCUUGCGGUGAAAAUCUCAUGAGCAGUCAUUAGUUAAGCUGACUAGCUGAGAUAUAAUAGACAAGCUAGUAAGAUUGGGAGCAUCAAUGCAUCCAUACAGGGUCACAAUAUCCUUUCCAUUCACUUUUAUAUAUAACCCUACGAAUACAAGUCCAACGAAAUGCGGGCCUUUCGAUCAAGAUAAAUUAAAUGGCCCACUUGUAUUUCUAAUCCAGGAUUAACUAUGCCCUCUGUUCAUCUCUUGCAAGCACGUGCAACACAUUUUCACGAUAUGGACAUGCAUGGAGGUUAUUAUACUGUUUGGACAAACUCUGAUGUGCCAUGACCUAAAUGCUUAGGGCCUGUUUGGUUUGAGUUGCUUAUUAUAAGCAACUUAAAGUUGCUUAAAGUUGCUUAUUUGAAGUUGCUUAUUUUUAGUCUAAACUGUUUGGAUACCCUUGCUUAUGAGCAUUGAAUGAGUUGGACAUUGUCAAAUUUGCCCCAUGUGUUGCUACCCCUCCAAUUUGCCUCCCCACCCUUCUUCUUCCUGCACACGUCCGAUCCCGGGGGCCGACGGCGGGCAGGGAGCAGCAGCAGCUGGCCAGGGCGGCGGUGGGGCGGGAGCGGCGGCGCACACCAGCACGCGCUCGCACGCCAGGUGCUAGGGCGCGGCGAGGCAGUCGUCGUAGCCCACCGGGAGCGGGUGCUCGGGCGCGAGGCGGUACUCGACGGAGAUGCCGAGCGUCGGGCGCGCGGCGGCGAGCGCGUUGAGGAAGCGAUGGUAGUGCGGCGACGUCGCGGACUCCGCCACGAAGCCGCCGCCGUGGACGUACACCACCACGGGCAGCUUCGUCUUGCCGUCGGCGGCCGCGGCCGCGGCCUGGGGUGGCAGGUAGAGGCGGACGGAGCAGGAGCCGAGGUCGACGUCCCUGGAGUCGACGCCCGUGGCGGCGUCCAGGCUGGGCCCGACCGGCGGCGGCACGAGCGGGCGCUCGAUGCGGCCGCUCUUGUAAAUCCGACGGGUCUGUGCGGAGGCGGGCGGCGGGCGGGAGCGGCGGGUGGGAGCGGCGGCAGGUGGUGCGGAGGCCGGCGGCGGCGGGUGGCGCGGAGGAAGGGGAGCUGGUGAGUGGUGACAGGGGAGGGGGGGAGAGAGAGGGGGGGUAGGGUGCAUUGAAUGAGGGCAGGAGGUGUAAAGUGCACCUUUUAGUCCCCAUGAGCAACCAUAAGCAGCCCAAGAGUUGCUUAUUUGCUUAUAAUAAGCAACCUCAUAAGCAAGAGUGAUUGGUUUCAUAAGCAACUUAUUUGCUUAUUUUAAGUUGCUUAUGCAUAAGCAUGUGAAACCAAGCAGGUCCUUAACCUAUGGUUGUGGCACCACACAGUACAUAGUAUUUAAUAAUGCUAUUCGUUUGGUAUGUGCACAAGGGCACGCAUGAAAUGUCUGGCCCACGGUAAACAAGUACGGACGCUGCAAAUAAUCUACUCUGCUCGUCCAGUCCCUAGCCUAUAAAUAGAUGCCAUGCUAGCUCUUGUUGUGCUCACAAUUAAUCCUGACUACACACGAGCUUCUCUCCCUGGCCAAGACACAAUCAUAGUAUGAUGAAGAACAUGGCACUAGCCGGCAAUGGUAUGAAGAACUUAAUCCUCGCUGUUCUCUUACUGUGUCUAGUUAUAGGGCAGAUACAAGUGGAAGCUAAGAGCUGCUGCCCAUCCAUUACUGCAAGAAAUAUCUACAAUGCCUGCCGUAUCACGGGUACAUCCCGUCCAACGUGUGCAAAACUGUCAGGCUGCAAAAUUAUCAGCGGGGACAAAUGCAAGCCCCCUAACGACCACCUCACCCUUGACCCGGACACUGGUAAAUAAUAAAUUUAUCUCACUUGAUUUCUUCGUGUUUUGAGUCGUUAAUGUAUUUUCCAUCUGAUGAAACGUAUUGGUUUUGCAUUGAAGAGGAAGUUAAUGUGCUUAACUUCUGCAAGUUGGGGUGUGCGUCGUCUGUGUGCAACAACAUCAACGCUGGUAAGCACCUUUUGCUCAGACGGAGAAAACAAUAAUCAUUAAUUAGCGGCAGCUAGAAUCCUAUAAUCUAAUAUAUUUAUAUAUAUAUAUAAUUUUAUCAGCUCUGGGAAAUGAAGAGGCGAACGAUGCCGUUGAGAGUUGCGACCAAGCCUGCUCUAGCUUCUGCAACGUGCACGUUGGCGCUGCCACCGUGGUUGCUUAAGCAAAUGCAUCCAACUGGAUCGUCCUUGUGCUAAAUAAUUGGAUAUCGUAUCCACUUAAAGCUGCCUUGUGUAGUACGUUUUUGUUUGUGUCUCUCUUUAUAUUCCAAUAAGGUCGGUGAUCUUGAUGCCACACACUCAGACGUGUGUUCAUCUCCAGAUACUACUCCAUGCUACCUGCCCUUUGUGUUUUGUUCAAUAACUGGGUAUCAUAUCCCAGCCAGUGUGCCAUCUGUUUUGUGUUUAUUUCCUUCUAGUUUCAAAGGGGUUAUCAUGAUGUUACCUUCUUUCGAUAUGGUGCUUUGCAUGACUACUGUUGUAUGGUACCAUCUUGUUGGCCAAUAAAUACAUCUUAUCCUAUGACCCUUUGCUAUGACCCUUUGCAAAUAAGUACAAGAUUGUUAAAUACUCGGUAUAAAUUGACUACUGCUGUGAGUUCCCUUUCAGCUUAUCGUAGGCAUACAUUAUUGCUAGCACGGUGAAGACAACCAACACGAAUGGUCAAGUAAACGUACCGGUACUUUUGUAUACCAACACCCUUGCUUAAAUGUACCGGUGUUACUCCCCACUAGCACAUAUAUUCUUAUAUGCUAGCCGGCUUGAAAAUUAACCGAUUAAAAUAAUUAUUUCAAGACAGAAAUAACUUAUCGGCUUCUCGAAGCAUGUGUAAUGUGAAUUCAAGGACUUGAUGGAAGUUGAAUCGCUUAAUCUAGAUUGCUUUCAGGAUUUUGGGUAACUAAAUUUAACAUUUGCACAUACAAAUGUUAAUGUACAAAUAUUAAAUAUAGUUACCCAAGCAGAAUAUGAAGAUACUCUAUAGUAUAUAUAUACUAUAUAAAUCUAGUUAACAUUUAGUCUAAAUGUUAAAUCUAGUUACCUAAAAUCCUGAAAGCAAAAUGUAUAAAUAUAUAUCUUUUAAGGAAUCCCAAAGCAAGAGUUCAGUGGCAUUCUAUAGUCCCAUGCUGCUAGUUUGAGUUGGUCGAAGCCAACUUAAAUAGGAGAGCUCUCUCACUUCUCUAAAUACGUAACUGAAGGAGAGAAGGGGGCUUGGUUACACAACGCACGCACGCACGCAUAUUUGCGUUCUUUUCGCGUAACCAACCGCGUGACUUGAAACUUGCGACGUAGCGUGCUGCCAAGUCAAGUUGAUAUAACCUUUUUGCCGUAGGCGUGUAAUCUUUUGACAACGGUCAUUGGAGGUGAUAAGCACGCAGUCAAUACCUUAAUCCUGAGUUAAUAGGGCGGUUACUACUGCCAAUUAGUGGGGCAAUUUUGUAGGGGAAACGGUUAGCAGAGGGCUACCAUCUUCUCUAUAAGAAGUUCUGGAGACGUCCAGGAACACACAUGUACAUGUGAGAGACCCACGAAUUCCUUCCCAUCUCCCUUUUCCAUCUGGUGAAGUGUGCUAUGGUACUGAGCUGCUGGAUCUCGCCGGCUCUUCUCCUUGGCGUGCACCGAGGAGGAGGGUGAGCGGUAUCUCCGAGCUAUUGCCGUCAGGAAGCCUGCACGAGGGACAACAAUAAAGUUUUUGGGUAGCGCAACUACGCAACCGCUCGAUUCGAUCGACUAUGUUCUGCGCUGCCUCAUCUUCGAUCUGCACUGCAACACGUAACCCUGCAGCAAGUCUACACAAGGACGGAGCACUAAUCUGUAAGUCCUAGAUUGGUUUCUUACAGAGUUGUAGGUUACACAAGAUCUAGAAUUGUUACAUACUUAUUAUUAUGGGUUACAUGAUGUUUUGUACGGUUACGUCUAUUUUGCAUAUGCUAUUUUUACAUACCGUUUACAUGCAUAUGUAAUGGUUACGCCUAGCUAUUUGAAUCUAGAAUUGGGUUACAUAGCAGUAGCAAUGACUUACGUAAUAUGCCUCAUGUUUAUAUCUGGUAGAAUUUAACACGUAUCUCCAACAUAUUUUGAGGCAGUAUAAAUUUCAAUUCCUUUUGCUGCUCUGUUAAAUCCCGUCUUUCGUGUGGCCCAACACUCUAGUAUGCAUGUAGCACCAAGCUUGUUUGAGCCGCUUUGUGCUCUGAUUUUGCUGUCUGUAUCAGGUUGGACUGUUUCUUUGUCUUGCGAUGUAUAGCUUCAUAUCUUCUAGAGGUUAGACAGCAAAACCCGCGUUCUCUUAAGGCAACAACUCGAAGAAUCUGCAGCGCUCCUGAUAUAUCACUGCUGCAGAAACAAUCUUUAGUACUGAUUUCCAACCCCCUUUAGUAUCGGUUUGGCAAUCAGUACCACUACGUCGGUACUAAAGGGAGUUCUCUAGAAUCGGGUCAAAUAACUGGUACUAAAAGUGCUCCUCUACUACCAGUUGGUAACACCAAUAGGUAGUAACUUUUUUUGCACCCAAAAAAUUAAAGAAAAACAGCCGGGAGGCUCGCGCACACACGCAUCAUGAGUAAUAUGCGCGUGCAUGGUUUGUGGGAUUCCAACCCACGACCAAGCUAUAAGCACGUAGUUACAAAAAAAUUAAACACUUAGACAUUUUAGAGCAUCCCAAAUAACUACAAAUUCUUUAGUUUACCAUAUACCAUAAAAUAUUAGUUAAAAUAAGAGCAUACGCACGUCGGAAGAGUCCCAAUGCACCGGUUGAGGAUCAGACCAGGCACUUUGAAUGCACAUGCCAUAAGAUAAUUCUGCAGGACGAUGAUUGCAAUAAUGGACCAUCGAGAAGAUAGGGGCGAUGGGGUUGCCUCAUCAAUUAUGACUUGGCGCAACAAGACCAGCAAAGUCUUUAUCGACAGGGGUGGAUCAAGGGGUGGGGCGGGUAGAGCUCCAAUCUUCCUACCGCCGCUCGAACAAUGGAGCCCCCCUUAGCCCCUCCAUAAAUUUUUAGGUAGAAGAAAAAAGAAGAGAAGGGAAGGAAGGGGAAGAAUAGGGAGCCCCUCCUAAGUAGGUCGCCAUCGUGCUUCCCAACGCAUGAUCGCCGCACCGCAUCCAUUCCUCUACAAGCCUCCAGCGUCUCUCCUGCCGCUACCUCUGAACCAUGUGCAGCUGCAGACCCAACUAGUGUCUUGUCACCCAUCUCAAUCCCAACAGAGCGGCGGCUCCUGCCAGCACAAAUCUCCCUCCGCCUGUUCUUCACGAUCGAUGGCCACCACAAGCAUAAACCUCGCCUUCGCAUCCACGCAAAAGGGUCGCCGGUGUGCCUUCUCGCAUCGCUUCUCAGCCUCCUUCACUUGCGGCUGGCCAAGAACCGUGCCACCACCUCGGGUGCGCGCCACCGCUCCAGGGCCGCUACCCCAUGCGUGCGGCCGCCGCCGGCCACCACGCGUGUGCAACCGUGUCGCACCGCUUCCCUGCUCUGUGCCACCACUGCUACUGCACCACCAGCUCCACCACCUUGGGCUGGUCGCCAGGGUGACUGAUUGGUGGAUUAUUACUACAAAUAAGUUCCUUAUUAUCUGCAACUACUAUUAACUCAGGGAUACAUGCGUCUUUUGCUUCUCCUGUUAAUAUGUCCUAAAAUAUCUAGAAUGCCUUAUAUUUCUGGACGGAGGAAGUAUUUGAAUAAAAUGAACCAAUUUUAAAAAAUGUGUUGUACACUACUACAGAAAGAACUAUCAGUGUCAAACCCAAAAAUGUCGUCACUGCCAGUUUUGGGCAUCGUUGGUGAAAGGUUGGCGGUGAUGGGUAUCCCCUUCAACAACGGCACUAGAGCUAACAGUGAUUGACAUUAGAAAACGAAAAAGGGGACCCACCUAGCCACCCCUGCAACCCGGCUGGCCGUGCCUCCCGUCAUCCCCACCACCUCGCCUCCCCCGUGACCCCCCGCCGGCGCCCUUGCGCCUAGCCCCCUCGCCUGCCUGGCCGGCCACCCUCGUCACGAGAGAGAGGGGUGCAUGUUGUAUAAUUGCGUGAAUUUUUAAUGUUUAAUUUCAUGUAAGUUUCAUAUAAUAAAUUGUACAAGUUUUAUUGUAUAUAUGAAUUCCAUAUAUAUAUAUUUAUAAUUUAAUGUAUGGUUUCAUGUGUAUAUUUCAAUAAUGUGUAUAUUUAGUAGAUAGCCGAUUUUCUUUUUCUACAAGACAAGGGUUGAUGUAUAAUUACGUGUAUAUGUUUAUUGUACGGGCAAUUAGGACAAGUUUUGUAUAAAUUUCUUUUAUUUCAUGGUUGUUGUAUGGUUUCAUGUAUAUACAUUUAUUGUACUACUUGAGACAAUUUUUAAUUUAAUGUUUCUAUGGUUACAUGUGUGUAUAACUAAUUGUAUUAUUAGUUAAGAUGGGAGCCAAAGAGGAUGAAAGGUAUAUAAUGGAGCAGAUUAUUGCUGGCGGUAGUGGCUCAAACGUUGCAAGAACCUACAUCAAGGGUGAGGGUAGCUAGGUGGACAUGUACCUCAACAUGUCCAGUGAUGGCAAUGACGAUGAGGAGCACGAGCAUGACGUUUAUGAUAGUGCGGAACAAGACAUUGCAGAAUUGGAAGGUUCUAAUGAGGUGUGCUUCAUGUUGAUGAUCUGGUUGGCUUUUUUUCUUUGGUCACACCUUAGUUACCAUAGAACUUCGUCUCGGGAGAAGAUUGGAGGUGCUAUGGUGAUUGGAAUUUUAUUGCCUCCAAAUAUGAUUUCCAUCGAAUCAUAUCCCUUGUAUUUAUCUUCUUUUUAUUUGUGAGAGCAUCUUCUUUAUGCUUGCAAAACAAUUCAAGUGCACAUACUACACCUAGGGUGAUGAUUAGGAGUAGAAACAAUUGCCAACAAACGAACACCACAUCCUAAGAUUCUUAACUUGUGGUAUAAUUAGUCUAGUAAAAAGAAAGAUAAAAACCUAAUGGGUGUACGUGAGUGCAAUGCGUAUAUGCAUAUGAGUGGAAGGCAUAUAAGCAAAGAUAAUAUUUACACAUAGAUCUAAGCACCAUGUUUACAACUAAGUUGCUGAAUUUCUCCAUAGCUAUAGAGAUUAAUGAACCAAGGUCAAAACACCAUGUCUAUCCCAAGAUCAGUAAUUCUUUAUAGCACAAGAAAAAGAAAGCGCAUUGCAAAGUUUAUAAACCAACCAAUGCAGCAUGAAAACAAGAUGAAUAGCUAGCAAGGUUUAUUAAACUGAAUGAUGACGGUCUGCAAGCAAGUUUGAACACCAUCUUUACACAAGAUUGCAAAUGGAAAAUUCCCAUAUGAAGAACUAACAUGGAUAUGAAAUCAUUCAUCAUAAAGCGUAAAGAACAACCAAGCCAACCAUAUGCAAAGCAUGAAUGGAAUGCAAUGAAGGUGCAAGAGAACAUUUUUGGAUGAACCCAUUAUGAUGAUGGCAAAAUGCGCCGUGCCCCCCAGCCCCCGCGGUGAGAUCCCGCCGCUCGCUGCCGCCAGACCCUAUUAGGCCUCCACCGGCAGGUCCACCCACGGUCCCGCGCGACGUGGCAGCCUCUUGGCUCUCGGCGCUCGCGGCACGCCAGUGCUGGCGCAGCCCCACCAGGCGACUACCCUCCCCCCAUAAGGCCUCGGCCCCUCCCCAGCGCCGCCCCCCAACACCAGGACUGCCUGCUGCCCCCCACCGUGAGGUAAUCGAAAUCGACUGCUCAAUCUCUCAAUCUGUUGAUAUGAUGCACACGGUUGCAAAAAUAGAUGUGUCAAAAUAGAUGUUUUGCCAAUUGCUAUAGAUGCAUACGGUUGACAUGAAGUCAAAAAUGACAUUUGGUUCCUUGUAGGCAGUCAAAAAUGAAGAAGUCAAAAAAUAUUGAUCUGAAAUCAAUGUGGGAAAGGGCUAUGAAGACACGCAGGUAGAUUCCCUUGUGAACUUUUUAUGUCGUUCGUCUAAAUAAUUUUUUGCAAUGGGCAUACCCUACUCUGAAAUCCUGGGUCCGCCACUGAUGAUGAUGGUCUAAAAAUAAACCAAGCCUAGAUUAAUUAGCCACAACUGAAAUUAAGCAAAGGUUAAUGUCAUUGACCCUAGCUCUAUCCUAGCUUUUACCAAAGUUCCGGCACAUAUAGUGGUUGGGCCCACUCUCUCUGCUUCCCUCUCUGCUGCAUGCACGCACACGAGCAACGGGAGGCCCGACGAAGCCCAGAAGGGUUCGGCCGAACCAGUAUGAGCGCCGCUCCCUCCCAGCCUUCGCGCAGAUGCUCCUCCAACGUUCCUUGACCCCUCCCUCAGCGUCCCGUUGGGUUUAACAUUGCAGGAGAGGAGUCCCUUUUUUAAAAUCUCAACCACCUCCUCUCCCCAUUCACUCCACUCUCAUCUCCAUCAAACUCACCAAGAUCCGCACCGGAAAUCCCUGCUUACCACCAUGGCUGGCAAAGCCCUCAUCCCUUUCACCAACUUGGGCUUGACCACUGAUCUCGAUGGGGAAAUCACUCUGGCAAAUAUGCGUGUAACACUGCCCCCUUUGCCGAGGGUUAAAGCCAAAACACUCAGCAAAGUGGAUAGUACCCCCCUUUUUACCCGUUUUGUCAUGUAUAACGGACCCCUCUCAAUUCACAAUAGACAUCAUCAUAGGCAUUUAUAAUAAACAAUCACAGGCAUAAUUCACAAUCACCAUUACAAGCAUUAUUCAUAAAUAUCACAGACAUAAUCCAAAGUAAGCAUGAAACAAGCCAUAAAUCCAAGUUCAAGUCACAACUAAGUUUCAUCCAAGUUCAAGUCACAAAUGCAAUGUCUAAAUCCAUGGAGGCCAAGGAGACCACUGCGACAAAUCUUGGUCUUCAUUAUUCGAAGCCGCCGAUUGAUUCUGCACAUAGGAUAGGACAUUCUGAGCUAACAUCUAAAGUUGUCAAAAUUAAAGUAUUCAAUCUUAAGCACAAUGUGUCAAAUGACUCACAGGAGUAGUUGUGGGUGGCUGAGGCGGAGGGAACAGCAUCGAUGGCGGUGGCAAAGAUUGACCCAUGCUCGAAGCAAAAUUCUGCAUGUACUGGAACAUCUGGUCCAUCCUCAUCCGAUUUUCUUCCUCCAUCCUCUGCCGCUCGGCCUCUAACCUCCGCUGAACCAUCUGCUCCAUCCUCGCCGCCAUCUCCUCUUGUUGCUUCCUUGCUGCUUCCACCUGGGCCUACAAUAUUUCAUUGCAAUGUUACAAUGCAAAGCUAAAGUAUAGCAACCAACGAACAAUGAAUGGAAGAGAAAGAACCUGGAGAGCCUCCAUCUGGAACUGUCCAAUGGUUGGUCGUAGCCGUAUCGCCGGGCUCGAGUCCGUGCUCCUUGCUUGGAUCUGGGAGAGAGUGGCAGUAGAGGCCGUGUUGAUUACGCCGUCGCCAAUCCAAUAUCGGCCAUGCUUCUUGCCUCCUCCCACCCUCAUCACGAUUUCUCCAUCAAUAUCCUCAGAGCUUGAAUCGAAGUCUGGCCCGUGAACCUCCCUUGCCAUCACUGUAUAUUCCUUUGCCGAGUGCCCGAGAUAAAGCACUCGGCAAAUAGAAAACACUCGGCAACUUUACUGUUUCCCGUAGUGUCGCUAUUUUUGCAGGUUCUCGACCAGGCCAGUUCUUUGGGCCAACCUAUCAUUCACGACUUAAACAUACGGUGGCUGUAGAAAUGUUCUAUUCUUUUCAACAAUACCAGCUGGUUCCUCCGUUUUUAUUCCACCAAUACAAGCACCACCUUGUAACAUUUCCUAUGUUUUUUUUUCCUUUCGUCUGUUUUCUACAUGCGUUGCUCUUUCAUGCAUUUUUUUCCAUUCCUGUAUUCCAAAUAGGUCUACAUGAACACAAAAUGAACUAGGGGACAGAAAAAGCCAGUGAAGCCAAUUUUGAGCUUCACCAGCUACUUGCUACAUAAAGUGUGCUAUAGUGACGUGUUUUAGCAAAACAUGUUAUCAAUGACUUGACAUUGGUGACGUGUUAAAACGCGUUAUCUCAAUGGCAAAUCAUUGGUGACGUGUUUUAAAAAAACAUGUCACCGUGAGAGUCAUUGGUGAAGGGUAAUUAUAAUGCGUCACUAAUGUUGUAGCAUUAGUUAUGAUAAUUUAGUAACGCAAAAAUCUACCAUCAGUAUUGAGCUUUAGAGCCAUCGCUAAUGUGGGUUUCUUACAUAGUGAUGCAAGCUCUACAAGGUGCUGUUGCUGCCAUUUUAAAGCAUCCCAUGACUACAUGUUAAUAACAUAGUUUACCAUAUAUCAUAAAAAUAUUAGUUACAAUAAGCACAUACGCAUGUGGAAGAGUCCGAAUGCACCGGUUGAGGACUAAACACAUUGAAUUACUAGAACCAAAUGUGUGUUUAGAACAAAGACAGGGGUCAAGGUUUGGGUAACCGCAUUAAAAACAUUGGAUUUUACUGUACAUGAACACUUAGUUACCAUUACCAUGCCUUGAGCACCUAGUUACAACAAACAUUAAUUUAGCCACUUUAGAGCUUCCAGAAUCGCUAUAAAUAAUAUACCUACGCCGUACCAUGAAAACAUCAAGAAGAGAGACGGAUACAUGGACCACCAUCAAGCGAGUAGUGACAGCACGCACAAGAAUACCCGGAACCUGUUAGCUUGUCUGUAGUGAUCUGUUUUCUUCCCCAUAAAAUCCAUGAGUAUUGCCACAAAUAAUGAAAGAGGCUGACCAAGCUAGCAAGGAGGUAGAGCAAACGUGAUACACGGCCUGCCAAGAUUGCCCUGGAUACGCCAAUAAGAGCGACAGAUACAUGGAUCACACCAAUAUGGUGAAACGUAUAUUCAUCACACAAGCAAAGCUGGUCAGUUUAUCCAUGGUCAAAUUGUGGUCUUUGUUUUCACUUGAGAGCUAAUUGAGGCACUAUAAUAUGGGCAGGCCUAUCUUCAACAGACAUGACAGCUACAGGGAACUUGACAUAAUUUGCUGGGCCGCCUGUGCACAAUUAUUUGUUUUAUUGUCCUUGCAUAGAAUGCUAAAAUACUCUUUACAAAAUGUUGGAUCUAAUAUUUGAAAUAUAGAGUAGUAAUCAUAUAUUGAUCAACAACUUGAAAUUAUCUGUACAUUCUCGGUGAAGCUGUUGAACUAAUUUUUGCAAAUUAUUAAUUCAUCUCAUUACGUAAAGAAAAAAGUAAGUGGAUAAGAUAUUUCGUGGACCACAUCACUGCAAACAUGUCAUGGAGAGACAGACCAAGGAGGCAGGACGUGAUACACGACUUACCCUAGGUUGCCGUGGAACCGCCAAGAAGAGAUACAGAUACAUGGACCACACCAUCUUGGGAGUAGUGACAGCAUAUAUGCAGAAGAAUACCCCGUGCCUAUUUGCAUGCAUGUCUCAAGUGAUCUGUUUUCUUCAGAAAAUACAUGAGCAUUGCCAGAAAGAAUGGCAAGAGACAAACAUGUCAUAGAGACUUGCAUGUCUUGCCUUGGAUACGCCAAGAAGAGGGACACAUACAUGGAUAACACAAAUCUAGUGACACGUAUAUUCAUCACAAAGGCAAAUCUGAUAAUUUUAUCCAUGGAGCAGACCAAGGAGAAAUUGAUGACGGACAUGUGAUCUCUGUAUUCAGUUGAAAGCUAAUUGAGCUACACUAAUAUGAGCAGGACUAUAUUCAAGAGACUUGUUGAGAGCUACAGGGAACUUGUAAUAAUUUGCUGGGCGGCCUGCGCACAAUGAUUUGUUAUACAUAGUUGAAAUAUUUCAAGAAUUUAUCAACCUCAUACUCUGAAACCCUUGGUGCAAUGUACUCUGCUUUCCGAGGUAGACUGUUCACGUAAAAUGAGGUCAUGCGUAAGACGGAAUCGGAUUGGAUUCACAGGGAAUCAGAUUUGGAUAGCACCUUUUAGCAGGUUUUUAGUCAAAUGCAAAUUCGGAUCCACAUGUGGUUGAAUGCGAGUUCAAAAUUCUACUUGGAUAUCCAUUUAAUUUAGGUGAUAGCAAUUAGCACAAAAUGUUGGAUGAACAAAAUCAUAGUUAGACAUACAAUUACAUGUAUGGUUAAAGUAUAAUACAAUACACCAAGAUUAUUCCUUGAAAAUAUUUCUUAAAAAUAUUAUAAUAAAUGAAUAAAUAUAAUUGUGGCCACCAACAAAUAGUCGGUGGUCGCUAAGUUGGAGCCAUUUCUGGUUACUAAUGCGGCCUUCUCCUCGACCAGCGACGACAGCUGAGCUUGUUCCUUCUGACACUAAAUCAUCAGAGUCUUCCCUCCACUACUAUAGAAUGCACCUUUAGCACCAAUUGGGAAAUCCCCUUCAGUAUUGGAUGCUGCAACCAGUGCUAUAUAUCAAAAUGGAGACUAAAAGCCUCGGUCUUGGGUACCGGUUGCAUAACGCAUUACUAAAGGAGGCAAAAGAGAAAUGUAACAAAAAAAAUAUUUUGAAUUCCAAGAAUGUUUCACUAUUCAAGAUGACUAGCUGAGAGUCAACAGACAAGAUACUAGGAAUGUGGGUGCUUGAAUGCAUUUGUACAGAGGUCAUACUAUUUACAAACUCUUCUAUGUUUCCAUAUGACUACCUACUUCAAUGUCACGCGAGCCAUUCAGCUGGACACAUGGCACACUAGCUUGCAUGUCGAAUCCAUGAUUAAUUAUUUCCACUUGUGAUCUCUUACCAGUAUUUGUCCAGACUAGAAACGUGCAACACAUUUUUAGGAUAUGGACACGCAUAUAUUUGGACUAGUAUACAGGUCACCUUUGGAUGCGUACAAGGAUGACCGGGAGGGACUAGAAAUGGUCUAGUUUUGAUUGGACUACAAAACUUUUUGUACAGUGAAUAGAGAAUAUAUAUUAUUGUUGGAAUACGAGGUAGGCUACACUAUCGCAAUUCUGAUAUUCUACCGCGUAUAACCAAGAAGAACUGUCGUAUAAGGAUCACGGGAUUACCACUCGACGCACUACUGGUGCGGAAGAUGUAGAUAUGCGUCGAUGCAGUGAAGACGAUCACGUAGUCGUAUGUAGUCGAUCAACGUAGUCGUACAUAGUCGAUCACGUCCAGCAGCUCCUCAGCAGCUCGUCCACGUGCAGCAAGAUCGCCUCCGGUACCGCGGCUCGUCGUUGGCUUGUCGUGGCUCGUCGACGGCUCGUCGGCGGCUCGUCCAAGUGCUGCAGGCGCAACACCUCCAAGGUAUCCACACGUGCAGGGAGGAAGCGUCGCAAGCCGGACUGCUAGAUCCACGAGUUGCAACAGGCGAGGGCGUGGGAGGCGCGGCAGGUGUGUUUCGCCAAAAAGGUGUAAACCCUAGGGCGCCCCCACCCCUCUAUUUAUAGAGGUUCCUGACGGGCCUCUGGAUCCGAGGCCCAUUAGUACUUCUAAACCUAAUCCAACUCGGAUCAGAUCCGAAUUGGGCUUCCAGCCCCUUAAGUGUGUGACCCUAUAAGUUCGGAUACGUAUAGACAUGGCCCGAGUACUCCUACUCGGCCCAAUAGUCGGUAGCGGCCUCUAGCAAGACGUGCCAACUCCUAUACGCACACGAAGAUCAUAUCAGACGAACCAUCACAACAUAAUAUACAUGCUAUUCCCUUUGCCUCACGAUAUUUGGUCUAGCUUCAAGCCGACCGCUCUUUCUCAGUCCUGUGAUUCGGAAUCCCUUUGUAGGUUAACUCUUAACCGUACGUAGCAUGGCCAUGCAUUUUCGGAUCUGAUCACUCGAGGGGCCCAGAGAUAUCACUCUCAAUCAGAGAGGGGCAAAUCCCAUCUUGAUUGACCAUGUCUCAUAGCAUGCUUCUUGACAAACCUAAAAACUACCUUUAUAACUUCCCUGUUACGGCGUAGUGUUUGAUAGCUCCUAAGUAGGUCGAUCCACAUCUAGAAUACAUGCGACAAUUUCAGGUCUAAGGACAAAGCGUAUAUGUUGUUUAAAGAGAGAACUACUUCUCGUGUUGGGUCAGUCCCAGCACAUGUCUCCACAUGUGUCCACAUUAUUAGUUCAACAUCUCCAUGUCCAUGACUUGUGAAACAUAGUCAUCAACUAAUACAUGUGCUAGUCUAAUAUUCAUGUGUGUCCUCACAUGAACUCCGACUAGGGACAACUUUAGAAUAACCAUACAAGUAAAGAGUUUCACAUACAAUUCACAUAAUUGCAAAUCAAUUCAAGUAGCCUUCAAUGGAUAUUCAAUGAACACAACAUACAAAUCAUGGAUACAAAUGGAAUAUCAUCAUCUCUAUGAUUGCCUCUAGGGCAUACCUCCAACAGUCUCCCACUUGCACUAGAGUCAAUCUAGAAGGUACCUAAUACCCAUAGCUCUUACAUGCGCAUCAUGCUUAGCCUGCGGGAGUGGUUUUGUCAACGGAUCAGAAAUGUUCAGAUCCGUGUGUAUUUUGCAUAUCUUGAUCUCACCCCGGUUAACGAAGUCUCGAAUGAGAUGAAAUCGCCGCAUUACAUGUUUGUUCUUCUGGUGGUUCCUUGGCUCCUUUGCUUGCGCAAUUGCCCCAUUGUUAUCACAGUAGAGAUUCAAUGGGCUGGACCCAUUCGGGAACACACCAAGCUCAAUGAGGAAAUUCCUUAUCCAAACACCUUCCUUCGCGGCUUCCGAAGCCGCGAUGUACUCGGCUUCUGUCGUAGAAUCGGCCACCGUCUCCUGCUUGGAACUCUUCCAACUAACAGCACCACCAUUUAGCGUGAACACAAAUCCUGUUUGUGACUUUGAAUCAUCUCUGUCGGUUUGGAAACUAGCAUCGGUGUAACCUGUUACAACGAGCUCCUCCUCACCUCCAUAGACGAGGAAUAUAUCUUUAGUCCUUCUCAAGUACUUAAGAAUGUUUUUCACCGCUGUUCAGUGACUCUCACCUGGAUCAGAUUGGUGUCUGCUUGUCAUACUUAGCACAUAUGAAACAUCUGGGCGAGUACUUAUCAUUGCAUACAUGAUAGAUCCAAUAGCCGAGGCAUAUGACACUCUACUCAUGUGAUCCCGCUCAUCAGCAGUCGAAGGACACUGAGUCUUGCUGAGAUGUAUGCCAUGUGACAUAGGCAAGAACCCUUCCAUGCUGAACCGCUUCAACACUUUGUCAAUGUAAGUAUCUUGGCUUAAACCUAUAAGCCUUCUCGAUCUAUCUCUAUAGAUCUUAAUGCCCAGAAUAUAUGCCGCUUCCCCUAAGUCCUUCAUCGAAAAACUAUUUUUCAGUGAAGUCUUUAUGGACUCAAGCAUAGGAAUGUUAUUUCCAAUCAGUAAUAUGUCAUCCACAUAUAAGAUUAGAAAUACUACAGAGCUCCCACUAACCUUCUUGUAAACACAAGACUCUUCUUCGUUCUUGGUGAAGUCAAACCCUUUGACCACUUCAUCAAAACGAAUGUUCCAACUCCUAGAUGCUUGCUUCAAUCAAUAAAUGGAUCUCUGAAGCUUGCAUACCUUUCCAGCAUUUUUCGGAUCGACAAAACCCUUGGACUGUAUCAUAUACACGUCCUCAGUUAGGUUUCCAUUCAGGAAAGCUGUCUUGACAUCCAUCUGCCAUAUCUCAUAAUCGAAAUAUGCAGCCAAACUUGAUUGUCUCCCAUGGACUCUAUUUCGGAUUGCAUGGCAUUCUGCCAUUUUUCGGAGUCUGGGUCCAUCAUUGCUUCUGCAUAUGUCACAGGCUCAUCAUUGUCCAACAAUAAUAUUUCCUGCAUUUCGCGGAGCCUUGCCGACCUUCGUGGUUGUGGCGGUGCUUCUCUUGCCAUGGGUAUCUCAACUUGUUCUGCUACGUUAGCAUCACUCAUUGAUUCUUGCCCGAUCGGCUCAUCUUGAACUUCUUCAAGAUGCACUGUCUUUCCACUCUUUUCUCCUUUGAGAAACUCUUUCUCUAGGAAAACCCCGUUCCGAGCGACAAACACUUUGCCUUCUGAUCAGUUGUAAAAAUAAUAUCCCAAAGUUUCCUUUGGAUAUCCCACGAAAAUGCACUUAUCCGACUUGGGUGCGAUCUUGUCCGACUGAAGUCGCUUGACAAACACAUCACAUCCCCAAAUCUUUAGAAAAGACAAACUAGGAACCUUUCCAGUCCAUAUCUCAUAUGGUGUCUUAACUACGGAUUUAGAUGGUACCCUAUUAAGUGUGAAAGCUGCUGUUUCUAGAGCGUAUCCCCAAAAUGACAACGGUAGGUCCGACUGGCUCAUCAUUGAUCGAACCAUGUCUAACAAAGAUCGAUUACGUCGCUCGGACACACCGUUUCUCUGAGGUGAUCCAGGCGGCGUAAGUUGUGGAACAAUUCCGCAACUCUUUAGAUGAUUGCUAAACUUGUGGCUCAAAUACUCGCCUCCACGAUCAGAUUGUAAGGCCUUAAUUUUCUUGACACGCUAAUUUUCAACUUCAUUCUGAAAAUCCUUGAACUUUUCAAAGGUUUCAGACUUGUGCCUCAUCAAGUAGACAUAGCCAUAUCUACUAAAAUCAUCAGUGAAAGAUAUGAAGUAUUGGAAUCCUCCUCUAGCCGUCGUGCUCAUUGGUCCGCAUACAUCACUAUGUACGAGUUCCAACAAGUCUACUGCUCUCUCAGGAAAUCCUGUGAAAGACGUCUUGGUCAUCUUGCCUAGCAAGCAAGCCUCACAUGUCUCGUAUGAUUCAAAAUCAAACGAAGUUAGAAGUCCAUCAGAAUGGAGCUUCUUCAUGCGUUUUUCACUUAUAUGACCCAAACGACAAUGCCACAAGUAGGUAGGACUCAAAUCAUUAGGCCGAGGCCUUUUAGCACUUACAUUACAGACAGGUGAACCAUCAAGAUUUAAAACAAAUAAUCCAUUCACAAUGGGUGCAAAAGCCAUAAACAUAUUAUUCUUAGAGAUCACACAACCAUUGUUUUCACUCGCAAAUGAAUAACCAUCCUUCAUCAAGCAUGAAGGAGACAAAAUGUUUCGACUUAAACUAGGAACAAAAUAACAAUUAUUCAACUCCAUAAUAAAUGCUGACGGGAGGUGGAGUUGCAUCGUCCCGACGGUCAACGCAGCAACUCUUGCAUUAUUGCCCACGCGGAAAUCAACUUCUCCUCUUUCCACGCUUCUACUUCUUAUCAUUCCCUGCAUCGAAUUGCAAAUAUGAGCAACCGAUCCGGUAUCAAAUACCCAAGAAUUAAUAAUUGUAUCAGCGAGAAAUAUGUUGUCUAUGACAUUAACAACAAGCGUACCUGAGGUAGAAGUACUCUUACUUCCUCCAUUCUUCAACGAAGCUAGGUACUGCUUGCAGUUUCUCUUCCAGUGACCAAGUUCAUGACAGUAAAAGCACUCUUUGUCUGGAGCAGGUCCAGGUCCAGCUUUAACCUUGGGCGCUCGCUGGGUUUGGCUUGGAAAUUCCAGCCUUGCCCUUCUUCUUCCAAGAAUUGCCCUUCUUCUUAAAGCUAGGCUUGUUCUGUAUAGCCAUCACAUGGCUAGUACAAGCGCUUUUCUUGAUGUCUACCUCUGCUGUCUUGAGCAUACCACACAGUUCAUUCAAACCCUUCUCCGUCCCAUGCAUAUGGUAGUUCGAGAUGAAGUUCCCAUAGCUAGGCGGAAGAGAUGAAAGAAUGAAGUCAGUGGCCAACUCUUUGCCCAUUGGGAAGCCCAGCUUCUCCAAUCGCUGAGUGUAACCAACCAUGUUGAUUACAUGUGGUCCUACUGCUGCGUCUUCUGCUAGCUUGCACUCCAGAAAAGCUUUGGACACAUUGAACCUUUCAGUCCUAGCCUGUGUCUGGAACAUGUCCUUGAGCGCCACGAUCAUAUCGUGUGCCUCAUGAUUUGUUUCGAACUGCAUCUGCAGCUCGGGUUCCAUGCAAGCAAGCAUAAGGCAGCUUACCUCAAGAUUAGCAUCAAAUGCCUUCUUGUAAGCAGCCUUAACGGCAGCAGAUGCAUCAUCAGCAGGUACUGGUGGUAGUGGGGUAUCUAGAACAUCUUCCUUUUUAUCGGCCCUGAGAACAAUUCUCAGGUUACGGAUCCAAUCCGAGUAGUUUGUUCCAUUCAACUUGUCCUUCUCAAGGACCGAGCGCAAAGCAAACGAUGUGGUGGUGUUGCUAGGUGCCAUUUAAUCUACAACAAAAGUAAUGCAAAAUACACUAAGACAAACGUAUCCAUGAUAGAGCAAAUUACAUUAAACUAUUUUAACAGAAUCUACUCCCACUAAAAUCAAUAUCCCUCUAUUGAAACUUAGUGAUUCAGGAUCCACAACUAACAAGUCUACUAGUGAGCUUUAGCAUCACCGCUAGCAAACGAGGUAGAUCGGUAAGCAACUUUUGCUAAUCAUAUCACAUAUGACUCCUGUUGUUGGGUGACAUCUCCAUGUCUCGGCGCCCAACCAUUAUGCCCCAAGGUCCUUAACCGUUAAGAUGACCUCGUUAAGCAAACCAACCCUUAUGCGUGUAAGUGUCCGACACAAACCCGUCUAGUCAAGGAAAACUAGUGGCACCCUAAUUUCAUAGACCCACCACUAAUUGUACAAGACAUGGGACGGUGCAAGUUUUAGUUGGGAGGGCAUACUAACUUAAAUUUUUUGUGAGGGAUCGUUCUACUUCUAACAUCACAGCAUGCAGAAAGUAAAACAUAAACAGAAUAGCAUUCACACAGCUGUGACACAGUAUGGCCCGUUUUUAUAUGGUGAUCUCCAUCUCCAUAGAACCUGUUCACCAUGGUGAUCUCCAUCUCCAUGUUCCAUGUGCGCCAUCCUCCUGGUGAGGAGUCCUCCAAGAACUAGAACAUGCUAUUACACCUAAUAGCUAGUAAAGAAUCUAGUAAUGAAGAUUACAUAGUUGCUUGGAUCAUCACAGAUUGGUACGCAGACCAUUAAAUACAAUAAAGUGACAACACAUAUGGCUCCUGCCGUGUUGCCGUACGCGCGACACGCAGGUCACGAAUGAGUUACACACAUGCAUCACAUACACAAGGGGGCCAUACUGAUCACAAGAUACAUACAUACAUCCUGCAAAACAGAGUUAGGCGUCCUAACGUUCCAAACUUCGAAGGCCCGAAACUCCAUCUUCCAAGCCGAAUUUGGGAAAUCUAAUUUUGCCGAAAACGGCAAAGCGGUUGAAUUUCAUGUGUAACUUUUUCUGUAGAUCAAUUUUCAUAUAAAAUUCGCCCCGAUCCGAGAUCGUACCGAAAAGUUACGGCUGAUUUACCGAAGCAUACGCAUACGGCAAAAAUUCCGACCCCGGCAGUAGAUCCCAUCUACUAUUGCACAUCUAAUGCGCCUGGCGUAUGAUCCUGGAUUUCGAUUCGACCAAUCAUAUUGAUCUUCGCUCACUGCAACUGGAAUUACGUGUAUCACUUAACUCGUCGGCGGCUCGUCGGCGGCUCAUCCAAGUGCUGCAGGCCCAACACCUCCAAGGUAUCCACACGUGCAGGGAGGAAGCGUCGCAAACCGGACUGCUAGAUCCGCGAGUUGCAAUAGGCGAGGGCGUGGGAGGCGCCGCAGGUGUGUUUCGCCAAAAAGAUGUAAACCCUAGGGCGCCCCCACCCCUCUAUUUAUAGAGGUUCCUGACGGGCCUCUGGAUCCGAGGCCCAUUAGUACUUCUAAACCUAAUCCAACUCGGAUCAGAUCCGAAUUGGGCUUCCAGCCCCUUAAGUGUGUGACCCUAUGGGUUCGGAUACGUAUAGACAUGGCCCGAGUACUCCUACUCGGCCCAAUAGUCGGUAGCGGCCUCUAGCAAGACGUGCCAACUCCUAUACACACACGAAGAUCAUAUCAGAUGAACCAUCACAACAUAAUAUACAUGCUAUUCCCUUUGCCUCACGAUAUUUGGUCUAGCUUCAAGCCGACCGCUCUUUCUCAAUCCUGUGAUUCGGAAUCCCUUUGUAGGUUAACUCUUAACCGUACGUAGCAUGGCCAUGCAUUUUCGGAUCCGAUCACUCGAGGGGCCCAGAGAUAUCACUCUCAAUCAGAGAGGGGCAAAUCCCAUCUUGAUUGACCAUGUCUCAUAGCAUGCUUCUUGACAAACCCGAAAACUACCUUUAUAACUACCCUGUUACGGCGUAGCAUUUGAUAGCCCCUAAGUAGGUCGAUCCACAUCUAGAAUACAUGCGACAAUCUCAGGUCUAAGGACAAAGCGUAUAUGUUGUUUAAAGAGAGAACUACUUCUCGUGUUGGGUCAGUCCCAGCACAUGUCUCCACAUGUGUCCACAUUAUUAGUUCAACAUCUCCAUGUCCAUGACUUGUGAAACAUAGUCAUCAACUAAUACAUGUGCUAGUCUAAUAUUCAUGUGUGUCCUCACAUGAACUCCGACUAGGGACAACUUUAGAAUAACCAUACAAGUAAAGAGUUUCACAUACAAUUCACAUAAUUGCAAAUCAAUUCAAGUAGCCUUCAAUGGAUAUUCAAUGAACACAACAUACAAAUCAUGGAUACAAAUGGAAUAUCAUCAUCUCUAUGAUUGCCUCUAGGGCAUACCUCCAACAAUUAUUUCAUGUAAAUUUUUGACAAUUUUUUAAAAUUGUUUGAUAUUUUUUAAAUUUUUUUUAAAAUAACUUUGCCGAGUGUCCUAUUGUAGACACUCGGCAAAGCAGCCUUCACCGAGUGUUACCCCUGGGACACUCGGCGAAUUAAUGCCCGGCCGCUCAAGAAUAUGUGCCCGGCCCCCUCACUCUCCCGGCCCCCCUCACUCUCACUCCCCUCACUCCCUCCUCUCUCCCUCCUCUCUCCCUCUCGCCGCCGCCCGAAACCCCCGCCGCCGCCCGCCGCCCGGCAUGCCGCCCAGCGCCCCCCGCCGCCGCCCGGCGCUCCCGAAUCCGCCGCCGCCCGCCCGGCGCCCGGCCCCCGGAUCCGCCGCCGCCGGCCGCCCGGCGCCCCCGGAUUCGCCGCCGCCCGCCCGGCCCCCGGCCCCCGGAUCAGCCGCCGCCCGCCGCCCGGCGCACGGCGCCCCCGGAUCCGCCGCCGCCUGCCCGGCGCCCGGCCCCUGGCCCCCUGAUCCGCCGCCGCCCGCCCGGAUCCGCCGCCGCCCGCCCGGCGCCCGGCCCCCGGCCCCCGGAUCCACCGCCGCCCCCCCGGCCCCCGGAUCCGCCGCCCGCCCGUCCCCUCCACCGGAUCCGCCGGCGCCGGGGCCUGAAGAGAAGAGAAGAGGAGAGGAUGGUGGCGGCGGCGGCCGCGGCGGCGGAGCAGGUGGCAGAGCAUGCAUGAUUUUUUUUUAUUUUUUCAAUAAUUGUUCGCCAAGUGUUUUCUGGGCACUCGGCAAAGUCUUUGCCGAGUGCCCGACACAAAACACUCGGCGAACCAGUGUUUGCCGUCAAGAUUUUUGCCGUGUGUCGUUUGCCGAGUGUUACACUCGGCAAACGCUUUGUCGAGUGUUUUUGGGGUUUCGCGGAGUGACCCUGGCACUCGGCAUCACGCAUGUUUCCCUUAGUGAACUUGAAAUUAUCUGUACAUUCUCGGUGAAGCUGUUGAACUAAUUUUUGCAAAUUAUUAAUUCAUCUCAUUACGCAAAGAAAAAAGUAAGUGGAUAAGAUAUUUCGUGGACCACAUCACUGCAAACAUGUCAUGGAGAGACAGACCAAGGAGGCAGGACGUGAUACACGACUUACCCUAGGUUGCCGUGGAACCGCCAAGAAGAGAUACAGAUACAUGGACCACACCAUCUUGGGAGUAGUGACAGCAUAUAUGCAGAAGAAUACCCCGUGCCUAUUUGCAUGCAUGUCUCAAGUGAUCUGUUUUCUUCAGAAAAUACAUGAGCAUUGCCAGAAAGAAUGGCAAGAGACAAACAUGUCAUAGAGACUUGCAUGUCUUGCCUUGGAUACGCCAAGAAGAGGGACACAUACAUGGAUAACACAAAUCUAGUGACACGUAUAUUCAUCACAAAGGCAAAUCUGAUAAUUUUAUCCAUGGAGCAGACCAAGGAGAAAUUGAUGACGGACAUGUGAUCUCUGUAUUCAGUUGAAAGCUAAUUGAGCUACACUAAUAUGAGCAGGACUAUAUUCAAGAGACUUGUUGAGAGCUACAGGGAACUUGUAAUAAUUUGCUGGGCGGCCUGCGCACAAUGAUUUGUUAUACAUAGUUGAAAUAUUUCAAGAAUUUAUCAACCUCAUACUCUGAAACCCUUGGUGCAAUGUACUCUGCUUUCCGAGGUAGACUGUUCACGUAAAAUGAGGUCAUGCGUAAGACGGAAUCGGAUUGGAUUCACAGGGAAUCAGAUUUGGAUAGCACCUUUUAGCAGGUUUUUAGUCAAAUGCAAAUUCGGAUCCACAUGUGGUUGAAUGCGAGUUCAAAAUUCUACUUGGAUAUCCAUUUAAUUUAGGUGAUAGCAAUUAGCACAAAAUGUUGGAUGAACAAAAUCAUAGUUAGACAUACAAUUACAUGUAUGGUUAAAGUAUAAUACAAUACACCAAGAUUAUUCCUUGAAAAUAUUUCUUAAAAAUAUUAUAAUAAAUGAAUAAAUAUAAUUGUGGCCACCAACAAAUAGUCGGUGGUCGCUAAGUUGGAGCCAUUUCUGGUUACUAAUGCGGCCUUCUCCUCGACCAGCGACGACAGCUGAGCUUGUUCCUUCUGACACUAAAUCAUCAGAGUCUUCCCUCCACUACUAUAGAAUGCACCUUUAGCACCAAUUGGGAAAUCCCCUUCAGUAUUGGAUGCUGCAACCAGUGCUAUAUAUCAAAAUGGAGACUAAAAGCCUCGGUCUUGGGUACCGGUUGCAUAACGCAUUACUAAAGGAGGCAAAAGAGAAAUGUAACAAAAAAAAUAUUUUGAAUUCCAAGAAUGUUUCACUAUUCAAGAUGACUAGCUGAGAGUCAACAGACAAGAUACUAGGAAUGUGGGUGCUUGAAUGCAUUUGUACAGAGGUCAUACUAUUUACAAACUCUUCUAUGUUUCCAUAUGACUACCUACUUCAAUGUCACGCGAGCCAUUCAGCUGGACACAUGGCACACUAGCUUGCAUGUCGAAUCCAUGAUUAAUUAUUUGCACUUGUGAUCUCUUACCAGUAUUUGUCCAGACUAGAAACGUGCAACACAUUUUUAGGAUAUGGACACGCAUAUAUUUGGACUAGUAUACAGGUCACCUUUGGAUGCGUACAAGGAUGACCGGGAGGGACUAAUGGAUACAAGGAAGGGACCAUCAGGAUUAAUAUUGACAUAUGCCACAUGACAAUCUUCAUUGUCAUGCAAUCCCUAUCAACAAUCAUGGAAUCCCUAGUGUACUAAUCCCUGGAGGGUUGUGUGGAAAUUUAUUUUACCUUGCGGUGAAAAUCUCAUGAGCAGUCAUUAGUUAAGCUGACUAGCUGAGAUAUAAUAGACAAGCUAGUAAGAUUGGGAGCAUCAAUGCAUCCAUACAGGGUCACAAUAUCCUUUCCAUUCACUUUUAUAUAUAACCCUACGAAUACAAGUCCAACGAAAUGCGGGCCUUUCGAUCAAGAUAAAUUAAAUGGCCCACUUGUAUUUCUAAUCCAGGAUUAACUAUGCCCUCUGUUCAUCUCUUGCAAGCACGUGCAACACAUUUUCACGAUAUGGACAUGCAUGGAGGUUAUUAUACUGUUUGGACAAACUCUGAUGUGCCAUGACCUAAAUGCUUAGGGCCUGUUUGGUUUGAGUUGCUUAUUAUAAGCAACUUAAAGUUGCUUAAAGUUGCUUAUUUGAAGUUGCUUAUUUUUAGUCUAAACUGUUUGGAUACCCUUGCUUAUGAGCAUUGAAUGAGUUGGACAUUGUCAAAUUUGCCCCAUGUGUUGCUACCCCUCCAAUUUGCCUCCCCACCCUUCUUCUUCCUGCACACGUCCGAUCCCGGGGGCCGACGGCGGGCAGGGAGCAGCAGCAGCUGGCCAGGGCGGCGGUGGGGCGGGAGCGGCGGCGCACACCAGCACGCGCUCGCACGCCAGGUGCUAGGGCGCGGCGAGGCAGUCGUCGUAGCCCACCGGGAGCGGGUGCUCGGGCGCGAGGCGGUACUCGACGGAGAUGCCGAGCGUCGGGCGCGCGGCGGCGAGCGCGUUGAGGAAGCGAUGGUAGUGCGGCGACGUCGCGGACUCCGCCACGAAGCCGCCGCCGUGGACGUACACCACCACGGGCAGCUUCGUCUUGCCGUCGGCGGCCGCGGCCGCGGCCUGGGGUGGCAGGUAGAGGCGGACGGAGCAGGAGCCGAGGUCGACGUCCCUGGAGUCGACGCCCGUGGCGGCGUCCAGGCUAGGCCCGACCGGCGGCGGCACGAGCGGGCGCUCGAUGCGGCCGCUCUUGUAAAUCCGACGGGUCUGUGCGGAGGCGGGCGGCGGGCGGGAGCGGCGGGUGGGAGCGGCGGCAGGUGGUGCGGAGGCCGGCGGCGGCGGGUGGCGCGGAGGAAGGGGAGCUGGUGAGUGGUGACAGGGGAGGGGGGGAGAGAGAGGGGGGGGUAGGGUGCAUUGAAUGAGGGCAGGAGGUGUAAAGUGCACCUUUUAGUCCCCAUGAGCAACCAUAAGCAGCCCAAGAGUUGCUUAUUUGCUUAUAAUAAGCAACCUCAUAAGCAAGAGUGAUUGGUUUCAUAAGCAACUUAUUUGCUUAUUUUAAGUUGCUUAUGCAUAAGCAUGUGAAACCAAGCAGGUCCUUAACCUAUGGUUGUGGCACCACACAGUACAUAGUAUUUAAUAAUGCUAUUCGUUUGGUAUGUGCACAAGGGCACGCAUGAAAUGUCUGGCCCACGGUAAACAAGUACGGACGCUGCAAAUAAUCUACUCUGCUCGUCCAGUCCCUAGCCUAUAAAUAGAUGCCAUGCUAGCUCUUGUUGUGCUCACAAUUAAUCCUGACUACACACGAGCUUCUCUCCCUGGCCAAGACACAAUCAUAGUAUGAUGAAGAACAUGGCACUAGCCGGCAAUGGUAUGAAGAACUUAAUCCUCGCUGUUCUCUUACUGUGUCUAGUUAUAGGGCAGAUACAAGUGGAAGCUAAGAGCUGCUGCCCAUCCAUUACUGCAAGAAAUAUCUACAAUGCCUGCCGUAUCACGGGUACAUCCCGUCCAACGUGUGCAAAACUGUCAGGCUGCAAAAUUAUCAGCGGGGACAAAUGCAAGCCCCCUAACGACCACCUCACCCUUGACCCGGACACUGGUAAAUAAUAAAUUUAUCUCACUUGAUUUCUUCGUGUUUUGAGUCGUUAAUGUAUUUUCCAUCUGAUGAAACGUAUUGGUUUUGCAUUGAAGAGGAAGUUAAUGUGCUUAACUUCUGCAAGUUGGGGUGUGCGUCGUCUGUGUGCAACAACAUCAACGCUGGUAAGCACCUUUUGCUCAGACGGAGAAAACAAUAAUCAUUAAUUAGCGGCAGCUAGAAUCCUAUAAUCUAAUAUAUUUAUAUAUAUAUAUAAUUUUAUCAGCUCUGGGAAAUGAAGAGGCGAACGAUGCCGUUGAGAGUUGCGACCAAGCCUGCUCUAGCUUCUGCAACGUGCACGUUGGCGCUGCCACCGUGGUUGCUUAAGCAAAUGCAUCCAACUGGAUCGUCCUUGUGCUAAAUAAUUGGAUAUCGUAUCCACUUAAAGCUGCCUUGUGUAGUACGUUUUUGUUUGUGUCUCUCUUUAUAUUCCAAUAAGGUCGGUGAUCUUGAUGCCACACACUCAGACGUGUGUUCAUCUCCAGAUACUACUCCAUGCUACCUGCCCUUUGUGUUUUGUUCAAUAACUGGGUAUCAUAUCCCAGCCAGUGUGCCAUCUGUUUUGUGUUUAUUUCCUUCUAGUUUCAAAGGGGUUAUCAUGAUGUUAC
This 83025-nucleotide long non-coding RNA is filed under the name Setaria viridis. RNAcentral's name for it is "long non-coding RNA (SVIR_LNC007217)". Lineage: Eukaryota; Viridiplantae; Streptophyta; Magnoliopsida; Poales; Poaceae. The record is from RNAcentral.